This 65912-nucleotide long non-coding RNA is filed under the name Lactuca sativa (garden lettuce). Its description in RNAcentral is "long non-coding RNA (LSAT_LNC005603)". Lineage: Eukaryota; Viridiplantae; Streptophyta; Magnoliopsida; Asterales; Asteraceae. The record is from RNAcentral.
UUUUCUCUUUUCUUCCAUUGUUCUUUUUCUUAGUAAUCUUCAUAUGUUUCUUCACAUUCUUCCCAUAACAAACUAAUAUCCAAAGAAUAAAUUUCUUGAAAUCAUUUUUUGUUAUUUCUUUAUGAUUUCUUCUACAAUUUCUUUCAAAAUUAUUAGUUAUACUUCCAAAAAUACACAACCUUAACAAACAUUCAUCAGAUUUUUUAGAACUAGAUAAUCUCUUUUUUUUUCUUGGUGAUAUCCACCAUUUUUACCACCACCGACAGUGGACUUCCUCUGGAGAAAACCACCGUCAGCUAGCACUAUCAUCUAACCUACUAUCGCAGCUACCAGGUCGUCGGAUUUCAAGCCUCCAGAUGUAUCCGAACCUCCGAUAUGUCGUUAACUACCAGAUCGUAUGAUUUAUUUAGAUCAGAUCUAGAUCUGGUCGGAUUUUCACCGGGAUCAUCCAGAUCCAUCGUCAAUGAGCACCGACGCCUUCAUCGCACCAUAACCACAACCUUUCGGUACCACCAACAACGAACACCACCACCUGCAAUCAUUCCAGAUAUGCAUAGGUCUGGUCAGAUCUGGUUAGAUCUGAUAUUUAGAUGCAAUUUUGUUAAGCCUUUUGUUUUCCGGAGAGCUUCUUUGCCUCAGAUCGUUGGGAGAGUCACUAACUGACAUCAUCAUCUCAAAUCUAAAGCCAAAUACAUAUACCGAUUUCUCGGAUUUGGUGAGAUUUGUUGUGUCUGAUGUAUUUUCAAACAUAAAUCUAAUGUUUACAAAGCAUUUCAUGGUGGCCAGUUGUUGUUCCACUACCACCUCAGAUAUGAAAACAAUGUGCACACAAGGUGUUUGAUGAAAUGCCUAAACGAGAUCUGUAAGUUUUUAUAUUAUAAAUAAGUGUAUGAAAUUGUGUAUCAAACUAUGAACUAGUGUCUGAAAUGUAUAUUAUACUAUGAAUUUUGUUUUUUAUGCAUUAGUCUGUAAAUUAGUGUCUAAAAUGUUGAAUUAAAAAACAUUGAAUUAAACUUUGAAUUAGUGUCUAAAAUAUUGAAUUAAACUUUGAAUUAGUGCGUGAAAUAUUGUAUUAAACUGUGAAUUCUAAUUUUUUUAUCCAGAUCUAAAUUUUAUAUUUGUAAAUGAGUUGUGAAUGUAAUAUAUUAAACUGUGAAUAUGUGUUUCUUAUGUAUUAAUUUGUGAAUAUAUAAGUUAUUAAGUUGUGAAUGUGUAUUUUUUUUUAUGUAGUAAGUUGUGAAUUAGUGUCUGAAAUAUUAAAUUAAGCUGUGAAUUAGUGUCCGAAAUGUUGAAUUAAACUGUGAAUUCUGAUUUUUUUUUUAUGCAAAUUUGAUUUUAGAGGGAAAGAUGUUGACAGUAUUGGCACCGAUGGUCAGUGGUCGAGAUGGUUGAUGGUAGUGGAUAUUGGUGGUGGUGGUAGAGUAAGGAUAUGUUCUAUUUCUCACUCAUCUUCAUCUUCUUCACUGAUUCUUCGAUGAUUUCAAAUAAGUUAUCCUCUUUUAUUAUUCAUGUAUAUGUUUUUUUCUUUUGAUGUUUGCUUCUGAAAUAUGAGAUAACUUAUUUAUGUAUUAAACUGUGAAUGAGUUUUUUAUACACUAAAAUAUGAUAUUAUACUUGUAAAUGAGUUGUUAAUGCAUUAUAUUAAACAAUGAAUUUUAUAAAUUUUAUUAACAACUUAAUAUAAUAAUUUCACAAUUUAAUAUACCUCCAGAUAUGAACGUAUAGAUGUACGCGUUAAGUUGAGAAUAUGGUUGUGAAUAUAUAACUUUUGUUUAUUAAAUUGUGAAUAUAUUGUAUUAAGCUGUGAAUUUUUUGUAUAAAAAUAUGAAUUAAGCUGUGAUUUGACUGUAAUAAACUAUGAUUUUUUUUUAAUUUUUUGUUUGCUUCUGAAAUAUGAGAAGAAUGAAUCAUUAUACACAUAUAUGAUUUUUUUCUAAUUAAAAUUAAUUAUAUAAAAUUUAAAGUGUGAAUAUUGAUUGAACGUAUAGUGAAUUAAACGUUGAAAGAAGCAUUAGCCUCCAAUUUAAAAGGUAUAAAUAUAAGUUUUAAGUUAAGAAUAUGAUAUUUCAAUAUACUAAAUUGUAAAUUUAUUAUACUAAGUUGUGAAUUUUAUGCGGUAAACAGUAAUCGACAAUAUUAAGUUUUGAAUUGACUGAAUUUUGCUCUAUUUUUUUUUAUAAAAUUUGUGUAAAAAUAUGUAUGAUGUGUGUAUGAAUUUUUGUAUUAAUGUUCUUAUGAAUAUAUUUAUGUUGUGUGUAUAAGUGUGUAAGAAUACAUUAGUUUUUAUAACUAAUUUGUAUUAAAUUCAGUGAGUGAAUUAAUAGAUUUAUUAAACUACAAAUGUAAUAUCUAACAUGUCAUUGUGUAACAAUAUAUACAUAUAUGAUUUGGAAGGAAGAUUAGUUGCGACAUUAGUGGAGGUGGUUGGCGGCGUCAUGUGGUGGUGGUAGAGUGGGGUUUGAGUUCUCUGAAUUUAAGAAUUUAUAUAAGAUGGAUUAUAUUAAGUUGUGAAUUUUGUGUAUUAAUUUGGAAACUGGCUGUUUAAAUUUGUAUUUUAUAUAAAAUUUGUGUUAAAAUAUAACUGAAUGUGUGAAUGAAAAUGUUAGCCUAAAAAAAUUACAAUUUUACCGUUUUCUUACCAAAAAGAUAAAGGUAUAGUUUUAACAUAUUUGGUAAUAUUCACAAUAUAUAUUUAUUUAUGAAAUAUAGGUUUUUAGGGUUCUUAACAUUUUAUGGUUCUUAAAAAUUUGUAUUUUAUAUAAAAUUUGUGUUAAAAUAUAACUGAAUGUGUGAAUGAAAAUGUUAGCCUAAAAAAAUUACAAUUUUACCGUUUUCUUACCAAAAAGAUAAAGGUAUAGUUUUAACAUAUUUGGUAAUAUUCACAAUAUAUAUUUAUUUAUGAAAUAUAGGUUUUUAGGGUUCUUAACAUUUUAUGGUUCUUAAUUGAAUAUAUAUAUAUAUAUAUAUAUAUAUAUAUAUAUUAAUCUUGUAAUAUUAUAUUAGUAUAGGGUUGAAUUUUAAACUUGUAAAAAUUCUAGGGUUUGAAAUUUAAAUUGUGUAAGUUAAACUUUUAAUUACAAAACAUAAAUUUCAAAACAUGAGGGCAAGUUUUAAACCUUUUAAAACAUGGGGAAUCAAAUAACAAAUAAUCUAAAUUAACAAUUAAUCACACAAUUAUCCAUAUUUGAUUUAUUUAAUGAUUUCUUGCAAAACAAUUUACCAAUUAAAUUAAAAUAAUUAAUCAAUUAUCACAUAAGGAAACAAAUAUUUUAUUAAUUGAUAAAUAUCUUCAAUUAGGUCAAGAAUAUACUCAUAUAUAUCAUAAAAUCGGAUUUAUAUUNAUAAAUGGAAUUUUACCAUCUAAUUAAAUUAUGAUUUCCUAAAUUUUAGUGACUAUGAUGACAAUUACCCAAAAUAUCUCAUUUUUUAGAUCCUAUUCUUUUAAUGAACAAAUAAUUAAUAAAAUCAUGAUUUAAUUUUUAUCUAAAAAAACUUUUUUUUUUCAUUUCAUUUUUCAUUUUUAUUUUUCGGUUUUAGCAAAUCAAAUAUCAAGAGAAUGAAUAAUUUAUCGGUUUACCUCAUUUCUUUUUUUAAAAAAAUAUCUUCAUAAAUAAUGAUUUAUACAUUUCAUUUUAAAAUGAAUAAAAUUGUAAAUUAUAAAUGAAUUAACUCAGAUGUAUUUAUGAAUACACUUGUAAAAUCAUAAAGAAAAAAAACCCGAAAAAAAGAUUAUAAAAUCAGCUAAAAUGAUACUCAUAUAUAAAUAAAUAAAACACAUUUCUAUUCAUAUAAGAAUAUAAUUAUAAUAGUAAAUGAAUAAGUUACAAUAUAUAUAUAUUUUUGAUACGGAACCUAGUACUACAAUUACAAUCAUAAAUGAAUAAAACAUCUUUGCGCUCCUUUCGAAAUCUAUUGGUGUUGGUAUUUCAUUUGGUAAAUCUCCCACCUCCCACUAUAUGCAUGUUUAUUCAUUGGAUAUGCAAAAAUGUUAAAGAAACAAUUAUGUAUAAUUAAAUAGUCAUUCACACAUGAAUACAUUGAUAUUCACAAAUGAAUACAGUCUAUUCAUAAAUAAAUACAAAAUAAAAAUAGUGUAAAAAUUAUCAUUUCUUAUUCUUCGUUCCCUGUCAAGAAUAACCACCAGGAUGGGGUUGUGUUUCCGGUGAAAUCAAAAGGGGCAACCGCCUCUUGGCUUUUUCCCCUCACCUGCAUUGUCGUGGCUGCUUUCCUUGCUCCUCUCGAACUAGCCUCAUGGAGUAUUCAUUGAUGUUAACUGCAAAUGAGACAUCUGACAUUGUAUUCAUAUAAGAUUACAACUAAAACAUAAAGGGUCUGUGACUUGUAACAACUUACUGAGUGUAAAAGAAAAGUACAUCAGGUCCAACAGUUAUCAGAUUAGCAAGAAGAACUGUUCAUGACACCAAUUGCAACUAAAUAUGUAAACAAGUAGCCAAAAAAGAAACAAUCAGAAUAACAGUAUAUGAUUUACUUGGUACUUAAUUACCAUAUCAACAACAAUUUGGCUAGAUUAGAACUCAAAUACGUCGUCACUUGCAAUAACAAAGAAUGGAUGAUUAUGAGUGAGUUGAGUUACAGAACCUUGAUGGUCAGGUUUAACGGAGAUUAGAGCUCUUGAAUCGCCGACAUUAGCCACGUAAAGCUGAUCAUUUACAACAAGGACAAUAAUCGCAGUUGUGUCACUCAUGGAAUCGUCGAUGUCUGGAUUGUCGUGGAGUUCAUUGUUAGUUGUGGAGAAAGCGGAGUUGUAAGCUUUUACGGGAUCUUCCAACAUAACAAAGAGGAUUGUAAGAAGAAUUUGAAUAAUUGAAACUAAAAACCUUAACAACGAAAUUAAAGAGAUGGAAAAUAGGUAUAUGUUGAAUUCGAUAGUACCUGAUUCGAUGAUGUGAGUGUGCGAAAACAGGGGGAAGAAGGAAUUAUGCUACAAUCAGAAUGAAGCUAGAUACGGAAGGAAGCUACAACUUGCGUAUGUGUAUAUGCGAUAACAUGGGAAACACCAACUGGAAUCAGCGAUUGGAUGCAAAGAUCGGAAGCCUCAGGGAAGGGAAGUAUCGAUCGUGACUUAAGAAGGUAUGGAGGAAAAUAAUUUUUGGCAGAAUCGAAGAUGGAGAGGUGGGGGUGUGCGGCCAAUUUUUUCAAAAUAAUUAGAUUAGGGUUUUCUAGUUAAGAAGAGAGAGAGAGAGAGAGAGAGAGUGAGAGAGAGAGAGAGAGAUUAUAGGAAUUUUUAUUUAAAUAAAUUAUAUGGAUUUCCUAAUGUACCCUUCUUGCCAUUUCAAAGUUACAUAUUUAGCACAUCAGUUUUAUAAAUGUUCAUAAAUGGUCCAGUUAAUAAUAGCCAUAGAUCUAAUUAUUUACAAGGUUGUGAUCUGUUCUCGCAUUCUCAACCUUUUUGGUGUUCUUAUNUUCGAAUCGCUUCAUUAUUCGGGGUUGUGGUCCAAUCAUCAGUUAUCAUAAGACUUAAGGACUUAGGAAAGAAAGGAUUUGGCCAUUUUUGGAUUUGGGGGUUAUAUUUUAAGUGAUCUGAGUGUUCAAUGGUGUUUCGGAGCCCAAGGGUAUAAUCGUAAAUUGGCAGUUCAGGCCUUUAUGAAUUUUAGGUUUUUGUCCGAGGAGUUUUAAGGCUAAGGUGAGUUGUUAGAAGUGUAGGGCUUAUCGUCACCUUUCCGUGGAUAUAAAGUUCGUCGGAAACGGACUUAGGAUGAAGGAGUUAUGGCCAUGUAAAGUUUUAGGGUUUUGGAAGGUCAUCUAGUACGCAGGGCGUACUAGGUGUAUACGCGGGGCGUACCGAGUUAAAUGAUCGUGAGUGGUCCAAGAGUACGUCGGGCGUACUCCCUUCAACACCAAAUCCUAAUUUUUGGAGUUUUAGCCUAUAUAAGCAACAUAUUAACUUUCCUCUUGUCAUUUUGGGUCAGCCUUCACCCCGCUUUAUCAUUUAGUGAUACCCUAGAGUGCUUGGAGUGUGUGUUGAAUCUUGGAAGAGUGUUGUUGGUGGUUUGUGCAAGAGAAGGAGAAGUUGAAGAGUCAAUAUUUGGAGAGAAGCUUAUAGAUCCGGUAUUUACAUCAUCAUUUCGUGACUUUGAAAGUAUCAAGUCUCCAUCUUGCUUACUCAUUAAAUAGAUCUUCUUUUGGUCUUGUUUAGUCAUUUUAGUCCCUCUUGGUUGGUCCUUGUGAGCUUGGGUUGUUUCAGAGGCUUGAUCUUGUAGAUCUGGACAUUUUUGGAGUCCCAAAGGCAUAAAAAUGUGAUAUUUAUGGUUUAUUUGGACUCAUGCAUGAGUUAAGACCCUUCAUUAAGCUCUUUUGAGCUCUAGAGCCCCAUUAGGCCAUGUAUUCAAGUAAAGUUGCCAACUUUACAUAAUAAGUCAUCCAUAUGAAUCAAAAUUGAGAGUUUGGAGCAAGGACUUAAGUGGGAGAAUGGGACUCAGGGGAGUACACUUGGCGUACCCAUCUGGUACGUUGUGCGUACUGGCCCCAAAGGGUGUACGCGGGGCGUAAUCGACCUGUUGGGAUUUUCUUGUAUUGUUGACUCUUUUGGCAUUUGACCAUUGACCGGAAGUGUACUAGGGUUGACCAUUAGAUAUUUUGGGCCUUCUUAGGAUUGGUCCAUGAUGGAUUUGGGACCAAUUUGGAUAUUUAGGCCUUAUUGGGCCUUGUGAUGUCAUUUCUGAUUUGGGCUAUCUUUUGGACUUGGUUGCUUGGGGCUUUGUUGGGUCAUCUGAGAUUAUGUGUUUUGGAUUAGGGAAAAGUUAAUGGUCUUUAGGUUAAGGCCCAUGUAAGGGUUUGGGCCCAAUUUGGAAAAUUGGGCCAUAAGUGGGCUUUAGAUGAUUAUUGGUUUGUGGGCCUUUAUGAUUGUGAGUUUGGGCCUUAGUCUUGGACCACACUAGAUGAGGGGUAAAAUGGUCUUUUUACCCCAUAUUUGGAUUGUUGGAUUUGGUUUGGAACCUAAUUGUUAAUUGGGUGUUAUUUGUUUGAUAGCGACGAGAUUUUAGCAUAUCAACAGUCAGAGAUUUAUUCAAGGGUUUAGUUGUUGAGGUGAGUUUCCUUACUGGGUUUAGAUAGUCGAAGGCACUAAUGUUGACCCAUGGUUUUUAUGUUAGAGUGUUAGAUGUCUGUGUAACUCUUGCAUGUGUUAUGAGAUGGUAUGCUUACCGGGCAAGGUUCGAUGUCAGGCGGGGCCUGAUGAGUAUAUUGUAUGCUAGUUAUUAGUAUAUGUUUUUAUGCUUACCGGGAAAAGCCCGAUGUUGGGCGGGGCUUGAUGAUGGUAUGGUAUGUUAUAGUCUUUUUGAUUAUUGCAUGUGUUAGUAAGGGUAGAUGUUUAUAUGAUUAUAUGGUUAUAUGAUUAUAUGUGUAUCGGGCGGGGCCCAAUGCUGGGUGGGGCCUGGUGAUUGACAGAUCUGUAAUCCGAGCGGGGCCCAAGGUCGAGUGGAACUCGAAACCGGGCGAGGUCUAAUGGAGGCAGGGGCCAAGUACGUGAUUUAUGUAUGUGUGGUAUGAGGUAUCUGUAACUCCCGCGUUUCUAGGCUAGGCAUUAUUGUUGAUGUAAUAGUCUAGGUUAACCCUUGUAACUCUUUUUUAAGUAUUAAUGAUGGAAUAUUUGAGUAUUAUGUGAAUUAUGUGUUUAUUUUCUUAAAUAUUAUAAUUUAAUGAAUUAAGAAUAAAAUAAGCGUCAAAAUUAAAGUGUGAGAUAAGUCCAAUAUCUUUUCUUGAAGAUGUAGUGGUUGAAACAAGGAUUCCGAAGAUAUAACGAAUGCCGAAAUCUGAGUUAUAACGAAGAAGUUAUGACAUGUUGAAGUUUCGCGACAGAACCGACAACGUUGAAUGACGUAAAAAGUGAAAUUUACGUUAUAGCGAUAUUUAGCCUUAGUGAUCUAAAUGAAAGUCGUAGAGUUCGUUAAACCGAGAGCGUGCAUAAAAAGAACGCCCAAAUCUGACUUUGUAUGAGGAAGUUAUGAUUUUCUGAAGUUUCGACUUAGCAGUAUGCAACCUGAAUACUCGAUUUGAGAUCUAGCGGCUUUUAGCUGAAACAAUCUAAAUGAGAAUCGUAGAUCUCGUUAAUAGUAGUAAAACAAUAAAAAGACAGGCGAAAACGGACGAUAGAUGAAGAAGUUAUGAGUUUAUAACGGAGUUUUCCUGUCCCGGCCUACUAAAAAUAAUAUAUUUAUAAUAUAUUAAAAAUGAAUUCAAAAUUAGCCAAUGGAGUCUAAAUGAGAGUUGUAGAGCAUAAUCUCACCUACGCAUGAAUAUAAAGAACAUCAAAAACAGAGCUCGUAUGCGAAAGUUAUGAAUUUCUGAAGUUCGGGGCGUAAACCCCAAGGCUGUGUCAGAACUCACGAGGUGAAUAUUAGAAACUCACGAGGUGAGUCAGUACACGAGGUUAAUACUAGAAACUCAUGAGGUGAAUAGGUGAUGGACGUCUUCCAGGGCAAGUGGCCAUGACGAACGCAAUGACGUAUCAAGCUCACGAGGUGAAUAUUAGAAACUCACGAGGCGAACUCAGAAAAUUCACCCUAUAAAUAGAAAUCAAGGGUCAGCCGAUUUAGGUUGCUCAUCUCUUACUCUCCCAUUCCCGAUACUCCCUCUAAGCCCAAUUUUAACCCCCUGAAGCCCCGGUAUCAUUCCCGAGACCCGAAGCCCCGAAGAUCCUGAGAAGUAAAAUUCCCGAGCCGAAGCUCUGCCUGUGAGAAUCCCGGUUUUUGUGAAGAUCUUCCAGAUCUACCGAAGAAUACUACUUCUACAAGUCGUAGUGUUGUCCGAUCAUCUUCUGAUCAAGUGAGUGUGUAGUUACUUUCUUCUAACCAUUAAUUAUCAGGUGAGUUUCCCUUUGUAUGAAUGGGUCUACGGCCACAAUGCCGACCCAUGUAGUUAUGAGUAGAAGACCCGGGGGUUAGCCCUAGGCACAGUAUGCUAGUAUGAUAUUCGGACGAGGUCCAAUGAUAGAGGGCGGGUGCCCAAUGAGCGGUUUAUGUGAUAGUUUGUACUUGUUGUCUGUGUGAUACUUGUAUGUGCCUGGUAGGGAGGUGAGCGUGGGCGAGGUCCCGUAUCUCACCAAUAGCAGAGUGUGGAUGGUGUUCCACAUCUCAGUAGCAGCAGAGCAGGGGCGAGGCCCAACUCAGGAAAGGAGUGAGGGUGGGCUGGGCCCGUAUCUCACUAUCAGCAGGAGUAUGGACGAGGUUCCAUGACUCAUCAGUAGCAGGACACGGGCGGGGCCCAGAGAUAGGCGAGGCCUUAGAGCAAGAGUUGUUAGUAUAUGUUUAGUUUAUGUAAUGUUAUGUGAUAUGUUUAUGUGCUAUUAUAUGUUAGUGGGCGAGGCCCUGUGACAGGCGAGGCCUAAGUGAAACAGAUCUGUAUCCGAGCGGGGCUCGAAGCCAGGCGGGGCCUGGAGCGGCGGGGCCGUUGUANNNNNNNNNNNNNNNNNNNNNNNNNNNNNNNNNNNNNNNNNNNNNNNNNNNNNNNNNNNNNNNNNNNNNNNNNNNNNNNNNNNNNNNNNNNNNNNNNNNNNNNNNNNNNNNNNNNNNNNNNNNNNNNNNNNNNNNNNNNNNNNNNNNNNNNNNNNNNNNNNNNNNNNNNNNNNNNNNNNNNNNNNNNNNNNNNNNNNNNNNNNNNNNNNNNNNNNNNNNNNNNNNNNNNNNNNNNNNNNNNNNNNNNNNNNNNNNNNNNNNNNNNNNNNNNNNNNNNNNNNNNNNNNNNNNNNNNNNNNNNNNNNNNNNNNNNNNNNNNNNNNNNNNNNNNNNNNNNNNNNNNNNNNNNNNNNNNNNNNNNNNNNNNNNNNNNNNNNNNNNNNNNNNNNNNNNNNNNNNNNNNNNNNNNNNNNNNNNNNNNNNNNNNNNNNNNNNNNNNNNNNNNNNNNNNNNNNNNNNNNNNNNNNNNNNNNNNNNNNNNNNNNNNNNNNNNNNNNNNNNNNNNNNNNNNNNNNNNNNNNNNNNNNNNNNNNNNNNNNNNNNNNNNNNNNNNNNNNNNNNNNNNNNNNNNNNNNNNNNNNNNNNNNNNNNNNNNNNNNNNNNNNNNNNNNNNNNNNNNNNNNNNNNNNNNNNNNNNNNNNNNNNNNNNNNNNNNNNNNNNNNNNNNNNNNNNNNNNNNNNNNNNNNNNNNNNNNNNNNNNNNNNNNNNNNNNNNNNNNNNNNNNNNNNNNNNNNNNNNNNNNNNNNNNNNNNNNNNNNNNNNNNNNNNNNNNNNNNNNNNNNNNNNNNNNNNNNNNNNNNNNNNNNNNNNNNNNNNNNNNNNNNNNNNNNNNNNNNNNNNNNNNNNNNNNNNNNNNNNNNNNNNNNNNNNNNNNNNNNNNNNNNNNNNNNNNNNNNNNNNNNNNNNNNNNNNNNNNNNNNNNNNNNNNNNNNNNNNNNNNNNNNNNNNNNNNNNNNNNNNNNNNNNNNNNNNNNNNNNNNNNNNNNNNNNNNNNNNNNNNNNNNNNNNNNNNNNNNNNNNNNNNNNNNNNNNNNNNNNNNNNNNNNNNNNNNNNNNNNNNNNNNNNNNNNNNNNNNNNNNNNNNNNNNNNNNNNNNNNNNNNNNNNNNNNNNNNNNNNNNNNNNNNNNNNNNNNNNNNNNNNNNNNNNNNNNNNNNNNNNNNNNNNNNNNNNNNNNNNNNNNNNNNNNNNNNNNNNNNNNNNNNNNNNNNNNNNNNNNNNNNNNNNNNNNNNNNNNNNNNNNNNNNNNNNNNNNNNNNNNNNNNNNNNNNNNNNNNNNNNNNNNNNNNNNNNNNNNNNNNNNNNNNNNNNNNNNNNNNNNNNNNNNNNNNNNNNNNNNNNNNNNNNNNNNNNNNNNNNNNNNNNNNNNNNNNNNNNNNNNNNNNNNNNNNNNNNNNNNNNNNNNNNNNNNNNNNNNNNNNNNNNNNNNNNNNNNNNNNNNNNNNNNNNNNNNNNNNNNNNNNNNNNNNNNNNNNNNNNNNNNNNNNNNNNNNNNNNNNNNNNNNNACUUGUCGAGAUACUUCUGAAACGUCCCAGAACUCUCUCCUCUCGAUUUGUGGAGUUAUCUUUAAAUAAGCGAUUCGACUCGUCGAGUCACGUGGUGACUCGUCGAGUCCCUCUCACAUUCCCCGUAUUACGAUAACUAUCUGGACUUCUGAAUCAUUAUCCUUCUGAUUCCUCGACCGGACUCGUCGAGUAGCUAUCUGACUCGACGAGUAUAAGCUUUUUUUAGUGUUUUUCCUUCUUCAUUCCACUCUUGAGCUCCUAACUGCUUCUCUUGCUUCCUUUUGCUUCCGAGCUUCAUCUUUGGACUGAAAAACAUAAUUUAACACUUUUAAGUACCUUUUGUCCAUAAUAUGCGAUAAUUUAGCUAAUAUAUGAAUAAAAACUAUACUAAAUACACACUAAAUAUGCACAUAUCAAAAUACCCCACACUUGUCUUUUGCUUGCCCUCAAGCAAAACUGAAUUUUAACACAUUAGAAUUAUGUAUAACAACUCCAAUCUAACCCAACCAUUAUGCCAAGACCGCAACGCAUGCAUUUGUGUCUAAAAUUUUUCCUAAAGAACCCCCCAUAUUCCAAAUACUCACAAUCCUCAUAAACAUUCGCCCACUCACCCCGAACUAUGCUCAUUUUAUGCAACCCUCCGAAUCCAUCCUCAGAAAACCUCUUUACCCUCAAGGUAUUUUUAAUUGAGCAACCCAAGCAUACAUAUUCUAGAAAAUUACAAUUUUUCGAUACCACUAUGAAAUUCUUUGAAUUCUUCACUUUCUUGAUAAUUUGAUCUUUGAUAUCUUUGAAUUCACCAACUUGUAUUGACUUUUGGCAUCUUCAACUUUUUUGGAUUUCUUGGAAUUUUGAUCUUUUGAUCUUCACUUCAUUUGCUCCAAAAUUCUUACAACUUUUCUUGUAAUUCUCUCUUUUUUUUUUUUUCAUGUACCUUACUUUUUUUCACUCAAAACCCUACAUACUUAAGCAGGGGCGCUCAACUUCAACCUUUAUUGGCUAAUGAUAAAAAUCUUCCUGGAUACAUUUCAGGUUUAGGCUGCUAAACAUAUUGCAUCCCUCAGGCUGAGCAAGGUCGUGUUUUUGUCUCAUGAUUUCACUGAAAUAAGGAAGCCACAAAUGCACUAGAACGUAUAUAGGCUCAACUAAACAUUUGGGUUUUCAUGCAAUUAUUAACACAAUCCUAACAUGGAAUCCUAAUUUUUUUCACCAAAGUUUUCUAAUUAAGUCCUAAAUAAUACUUUUGGUAUGCAAAAUUUUUUAAAAUUGACUAUUAUGUAACCAACCCCCUACCCCACACUUAUGUGAUGCAAUGCCCUCAUUGCAUAUGAUGCAUAAAAACAUAAAAAGAAACUAAAGAGGGAAUUGGAACAAACUCCCCUGGGAUAGCAGUGGAUAGGCUGAUCACUCUCAUUUAAGCUCCAACUUCAAUCAACUUUAGACAUGGUAACAUCUCAUCCAUGCCUUGGGUGUCUCGUCUCGUGUGGGUCGCUCCAAAUACGCGGAAAUCAGUGUAAGAUCUUCAAGAAUGGAUAUGGAAGAAUAAGUGAGCAAGUGGGACAAGUAGCAGCAUCAAAUCAGCAGUCCGUCGGUAUAAAAAUUGAACGACUCGUCGAGUCUUAUGGUGGACUCGUCGAGUACCAGCGCGCCUUCUCAGAAUAUGUAGAAAUACAAGGCGACUCGUCGAGUCAGCUUAGUGCACUCGUCGAGUAGGCCACUGAACGAAAAAAACUUGGUAUUUUGCAACUGUUUUAGCCUCUAAAAACUUCUCUAACUCUUCCCCAUGUUUAGACUCAAUUGCUCAUACCCCUAAGGACCGGACUCGACACUUUGACGUUAAAGUUCUGCUUCCUUAACUUGCUUUCACUCGUGAUAACAUCCAUGCUAUAACUCUAAACCAUCCUAAGCAAGCAAUCCUAAUCCAAUCCUGAAAAAUAACUAAAUCAUACAAUCAUUAAACACAAUAAGGCGUUCUUUAGCAGCUGAUGGCAGGGUGAGGUCGGGAACUUAGGAAAGGCUAGGGAUUGCUUCGGUGGGUUUUGUUACGCUGGCUCGCGAGUGUUUGUGUAACACCCAAGAUUUUGAAAGCCAAGAAAGUUAAGGAAACCCUAAAUUUAGGAGGGACUCGGCGAGUCCAAGGAAGGACUCGGUGAGUCAGAGCGGGAUCCGGGUCGAGGAGUAAGUGACCAACUCGGCGAGUCGGCCAAGUGGACUCGGCGAGUCUGGUCUGUGCGAGGAAAACCCUAAAUCCGGGGCUUGGAGCCUAUUUAAACGUCUCAAUCUUUUUCCUAGGGCUCCUUUACAGCCUCUCACACCCAGAACGCCGCACCUUAAGCCCCCAUUGUGUUCAUUCAAGCUUUUAGCCAUUUUUGAGUGGUUUUAAGGAAGAAGAAGGAGUGGGAAUCUUUGAAGCAUCAAGGAGUGGUCUUGGAUCUGAAGUUUGGGGAGCAUUUCAGAGCAUUGGAAGGUAUUAAGUCGUUUCUCUCCUCCAGAUUUUCCUUGGUUAUGAGUUUUGGGGCUUUUAAGCCAUGUUUAAGACCAAUCUUGAGCUUGAGGUCCAGAUCUGAGGUUGCUACCUCAGAUCCAUGUUUGUUUUGGUAUGGAAUCCCAUAAAGUAUCAGCCAUUGGGUGGAAAUUGGAGUCUCUUGGUCCUAAACCCUAGCUAUGGGUGUAUUUUGCCUAGAUCUCCCUCUCUACACGUAAAGUUUGCAACUUUACGUGGGAAAUAGGCUUGGGGAGGGUAGAUCUACAGUUUGGAGCUCAUGCAUGACUCGGAAGUCCUCUGCAUGUAAGUGGAUCUUAGUGGACUCGACGAGUCCUUCGAGUGGACUCGGCGAGUAGCUUGAAGAUGAGGAGGAACUCGACGAGUGGGAUGAACAGCUCGUCGAGUCGGAUGAAGAUGGGCAUGAACUCGGCGAGUUGGAUGAACAACUCGUCGAGUUGGAUGAAGAUUGUCGUGUGCUCGGCGAGUCUGUUCUUAGACUCGGCGAGUCAGGUCGAGUGGUCCCAAACCCUUCGAGUUAAGACUCGAGUCAGCGAGUCGAGCCAGGACUCAGUGAGUUGGUCAGGACAGGAAUCGGGAAUCAGUAAACUCGGCGAGUCAGGGGCUGACUCGGCGAGUAGAGUCGCGAGUGGAAGGACUCUGGAAUUAUGAACUCGGCGAGUCAGUAGGGUGACUCGACGAGUAGGGUUGACCUGGAAGGUUGACUUUGACCAGGACGUUGACUUUGACCAGAGUUGACUUGGUUGACCUUUGAAGGUCAGUUAGACUAAGUGUUAUGUUGAUAUUGGUAGCUCGGGGAGCUAGCGGAGCAGCAGUUCGGAGUCAGUGGUCAGGUAGCGGUCAAAGGGGUUAGCAGCAGCAGUUCAGCAGUAUCAGGUGAGUUUCCCUUUGUAUGAAUGGGUCUACGGCCACAAUGCCGGCCCAUGUAGUUAUGAGUAGAAGACCCGGGGGUUAGCCCUAGGCACAGUAUGCUAGUAUGAUAUUCGGACGAGGUCCAAUGAUAGAGGGCGGGUGCCCAAGGAGCGGUUUAUGUGAUAGUUUAUACUUGUUGUCUGUGUGAUACUUGUAUGUGCCUGGUAGGGAGGUGAGUGUGGGCGAGGUCCCGUAUCUCACCAAUAGCAGAGUGUGGAUGGUGUUCCACAUCUCAGUAGCAGCAGAGCAGGGGCGAGGCCCAAGUUAGGAAAGGAGUGAGGGUGGGCUGGGCCCGUAUCUCACUAUCAGCAGGAGUAUGGACGAGGUUCCAUGACUCAUCAGUAGCAGGACACGGGCGGGGCCCAGAGAUAGGCGAGGCCUUAGAGCAAGAGUUGUUAGUAUAUGUUUAGUUUAUGUAAUGUUAUGUGAUAUGUUUAUGUGCUAUUAUAUGUUAGUGGGCGAGGCCCUGUGACAGGCGAGGCCUAAGUAAAACAGAUCUGUAUCCGGGCGGGGCUCGAAGCCAGGCGGGGCCUGGAGCGGCGUGGUCGUUGUAUCGGGCGAGGCCCGGGGUAGAGGGCGAGGCCUAGGAUAGCGGGCGUGGCCCAGUAUGUGAAGUAUUUGGUUUUUCAUGGUAUGUGGUAAGGUGGGGAACUCACUAAGCUUCGUGCUUACGGUUUUUAGUUUUGUUUUCAGGUACUUCCGGUAGCGGAGGGAGGAGCUCGGGGUGAUCGCAUGGCACACACCAUAGAUUAGUCAGCCUGGGAAUGUUUACUCUGAUAAUAAACAUGUGAUUUGAAAACUUAUACUCAGAUUAUGUUUUGGAAUGAUGUCUUUGUUUAAAUUAAUGUCUUAUUAAAAAGAAAUUUUUGGUCUUGAAUUUUGGGUUGUUACAGUUUGGUGUAUGGAUUUGAGAAGGUGACUUAGAGGAUUCAGGAGGAUUCUUGAGGGAAGUAUGGAUAGGUGUGGAAGGUAGUAUUGGGCCCAUACUACUAAAAGUACAGGAUCCAUACUCGAAUCAGAGAUAGUCUUAGGGAAUCUAAGAAGCUUAUGGGAUGAGGAUUCUUGGGUGUAUUUAGAUCUUUUGCAUGUUGUUUCGGUAUGGUGUUGAGCACUCAUGAAUAGGGUCAAAAUUUUGGUUAUGCUAGUGUCUGGAUUAUAUUAUCAAGGAUUGUGAUAUGCCAUUCUGCAUGUCGGGAGUCUUCGAUGAAUCUUCAGAGGGUCGUAUCUGGUUGAGUGGGUUCAACGUGUUCCGUUGUUGUUUCGGAUCAUUGUCAGAAUCAAUUCAGGAGUAUUGCGUGGAGGAUCUUUGGUCAGGGUUAGCAGGAUAGUUCUCUUAUGAAGUCAGAGUUCAGUGGUUUUAUCAUCUGUUCGGGUAUGAUAGACAAUUUCCUAUGGAAGAACUUUUGGAUUCAAGCACUACCGUUGUUAGGAGAGGAGCGGUAGCAUGAAGAUGGUGGUGUCAGUUGCAUGAGUUGUUUGGCAAUUGGAAGUGCCAGGGGAGUUUUAUAUCCACAUUGAUUGUAGACGGUUAGAGUCCAGUGAUUAUUUGAGAAUGGAAGUUGGGGGUGAAGAUUCGUCAGUUCAGGCAAGGGUUGUGGCUUUUUUUAUUGAUGAUUACAGCAAAUAUGACUAUAUCUACUUAAUCAAACAUAAGCCAGAAACCUUUGAGAGAUUCAAAGAGUUUAAACAAGAAGUGGAGAAUUUGCUGGGCAGGAAGAUAAAUAUGCUACGAUCUGAUCGGGGUGGUGAGUAUCUUAGUAUCGAGUUCCAAGACUAUCUUAAGGAAUGUGGGAUUGUUUCACAAUUGAUGCCACCUAGGACACCACAUCUUAAUGGUGUAGCUGAGAGGCGCAAUCGAACCUUGUUGGAUAUGGUUCGUUCCAUGAUAAGUCGUGCUUCGUUACCUAUCUCAUUCUGGGGGUAUGCCUUAGAGACUGUCGCCCAUAUCCUUAAUCCAGUCCCAACUAAGAAGGUUGCCAAAACACUUCACGAGAUGUGGACAGGGAAGGUUCCCUCGUUAGCACACAUCAAGGUUUGGGGUUGCGAGGCUUUCGUGAGACGCGAGACUCAUGACAAGCUUGAACCUCAUACUGAGCGGUGUAUUUUCAUCAGCUACCCACAUAAGUCCUUUGGAUAUCUCUUCUACAGACCUAGUGAAAAUGUUGUCUUCGUUGCAAGGAUAGGAGUCUUUCGCGAGAGGUAACUCAUAGGCCAAGGAGACAGUGGGAGGCAAAUUGACCUUGAAGAGCUUCAAGAGUCAAGCGGUGAAGGAACCUUAAACACUAGCAAUCAACCUGAGGAGGAAACUCAUGUUCAACCGGUUGACGAGUCCAUACCUUUGAGGCGCUCUAGUAGAGUUAGUGUUCCACCUGUGUUAUACGGUUUCUAUAUAACAUCUAAGGGUGAUACAUUUGUUAGUGAUAGCACACUGAUAAAUUUGAAUGAACCUAACAACUAUAAGGAAGCCAUGACAGGCCCCGAGUCUUCUAAAUUGAAAGAGGCUAUGGACAGCGAGAUUCAGUCCAUGUAUGACAAUCAAGUUUGGAACUUGGUUGACAAUGUACCGGGUCGUAAGACAGUCGGGUGCAAAUGGAUCUUCAAGAAGAAGACCGACAUGGAUGGAAAGGUACACACAUAUAAGGCGCGACUGGUUGUGAAGGGCUUUACUCAAACUCCAGGAGUGAACUAUGAUGAGACCUUCUCGCCAGUGGUGAAGAUUAAGUCUAUUAGGGUUAUGCUAGCCAUAUCUGCAUUUCAUGAUUAUGAAAUAUGGCAAAUGGAUGUUAAAACUACUUUCAUUAAUGGAAAGUUGGUUGAGGAUGUUUACAUGAGUCAGCCAGAGGGUUUUGUCAAUGCAAAGUAUCCUAAUAGAGUGUGCAAGCUUGAGAAAUCAAUGUAUGGAUUGAAACAAGCAUCUCGCAUAUGGAAUCUUUGUUUCGAUGAGAAAGUCAAAGAGUUUGGUUUUUCGAGAAGCGAGGAUGAGUCCUGUGUGUAUGUCAAGGCUAUUGGGAGUACAGUUAGCUUUCUGGUGUUGUAUGUAGAUGACAUACUUCUCAUAGGAAAUGACAUCCCAACCUUGUAGGAGGUUAAGUAUAUUGGAUAAAGUGUCUAAGUCCAUAAUUAUUUCUGGUAUGUACUUGACCCGGUUUGGCAUGGUCCAUUUGGGUUGCAUGGCAUCAUGCGUUUGGAUAGACUAAAAUGAGAGAAAUAACACUUAUGGUUUAUUAAUAUAUUAUAAGUUCUAAUAUAUUAAUAAUAUUAUUUAAUUAAUAUUGAUCAAGAAUUAAUUUAGAAUUAAUUAAGUGAUCAAAAGGUGACUAAUUAAAUAUAUGGGUUGAUUGUGUAAAUCAUUUAUACUUGUAUAGUGGGCUAAUGCUCCAUGGAUUAUCAAGUUGGGCUAAAACCCAUAAGAUGCUCCAUGGGUGCUCCAUGGUGGUUAUAUAACCCAUGGGUCAUGGAAAUGAAAGGUCAUGUCAAUUAGGGUUUGCAUGGUGUAAUCCAAAUUGUAACACGCUGUAUAAGGACCCUUAUGUUCACCAAAAUCGACACGAAAAGCAAGACAGAAGAGGGCUAGCUGAUUUCUAGUAGUGUGACAUUUCUCUCAAAGUUUAUUCCAAGUGUAUUUGGUGUUGUGUGAGACAUUUGAGGCAUCACACUUGGGGUGCUAGGCUCUUAAGGUUUUCCAAGGAAUCCAAACUACUACAAGGUAUGUUCUCUAGCUAACUUUUAUAUUGAAAAGUUCCCCAUGUAUGAUAGAUGGGAUUAUGAACCUUGGAAAUCAAUUUUUUCAUAUAUCUUAGUCACACAUAGAUCCAAGGUUUCUAGGGUUGCAUGAACACCUUAGGAGUGUUAGAUUGCUCAAAACCCUACUGUGGUAUCAGAGCCUAGGCUUGUUUGUUUGAUACUUGUUGCAAAAUAGCUGAAAAAGUCGAAAUUCUUGUUAUCUACACAUGAGACUCGCCGAUUCCAUGGGGGGGACUUGACGAGUCCAAGCGUAUCUGCAACCAACUCGGCGAGUCAGUUCUUGCACUCGACGAGUUGGCUAGGUAGAGUGCAGUUUUUCGACUUUUGCUACUGGAAAUGGACUAGAAACAUUACCCUAAACUGUUUUGGUGUUUUAAAACUUGUUUUAGAUGGUGUAAUGGUUGUUCUAAUCCAUUUACUAUGGCUAAUAUCAAAAUUCUAUGUUUAUAUGUGUCCAUAUGUUCUUGAAAUUUUGAUAUGAAUAUUCAUGUUCUUAUGAGUUCUUGCAAGAUCAUAGGAAUUAUGUGAUAUUGAUUGGUAGUUAAUUCAUGAUCAUGAUUGUUUUAAUGGAGUCCAUAACUUGUCCUCAAGUUAUGGAUAACCAAAAGUCACUUUGUAAUAAAUCCAUUAAAAGAACACAUAAGUUACAAAAAAUGAAGAAUCUUCAUUUUUAAUAAACAAUAACUCAUAAGUUAUAAAUUGAAAUGUUUUGUAAAGUUACAAAACUUGCCCUCAAGUUUUGAAACAUUUAAAGUCAUCUAGUAAACUUUAGUUCCAACCCCUAGAAUUUUAAAAGUUAAAAUUCAACCCUUAUACUUUAUAAUAUUAUAAGUUAAUAAUAAUAAUAAUAAUAAUAUAUAUAUAUAUAUACAUAUAUANNNNNNNNNNNNNNNNNNNNNNNNNNNNNNNNNNNNNNNNNNNNNNNNNNNNNNNNNNNNNNNNNNNNNNNNNNNNNNNNNNNNNNNNNNNNNNNNNNNNNNNNNNNNNNNNNNNNNNNNNNNNNNNNNNNNNNNNNNNNNNNNNNNNNNNNNNNNNNNNNNNNNNNNNNNNNNNNNNNNNNNNNNNNNNNNNNNNNNNNNNNNNNNNNNNNNNNNNNNNNNNNNNNNNNNNNNNNNNNNNNNNNNNNNNNNNAAUAUAGUGCACCCAUGAAAUUACACGUUGCACUUUGCUUAAGUCGUUAGUGGAGCAUGUGUGGUUAACCGGCAUACUAACCUGGACUUAACAAGGUAGGAAAAUGGUGACUUAAGGUUUUUCAUAGGUCGAUGGAGCGCGUGUGGUUAACCGGCACAUCGAUUGAGUGAAAAACAUUAAGGGUACCAAGUAACUUACAUGGUUACUUCACACCUUGUUUUGUGAUCCUUGGCAUCCCAGUCACAAAACAUGAAGGGAACAAUCGAGAUUAAAACAUACCCUUAAAAAGUUCAAUGAACUCAAAAGAAUCUCUGAGUUUCUAAAAAACCAAUUAAAACCUAAUAAUUUAUAUUUCGGUUUUUGUGGUGGAAAUUGGUGAAUUGUCAUUCACCUACCUUUCAAGUAUGUUAUAGCUUAUAUUACGGCAUCGCUCUUCUAAGUUAUAAUAUAUUGUGAUUGGAUCAUAGCCUUAAUAUUACAUUUGGGUGUUUUAUUAAGGACUAUCCUUUUAUCUAAACUAAACUUGUUUUCUUCUUUUCAGAUGUCAACCAAUAAUGCUACUUCUGGCUCAAACCCUACCGGCUCCUUCUCUCUCAUGAACCUUUGUGGAGAGUCAUCUUUGAUGGAUCCAACUUUAUGGAUUGGAUCAGGAACAUCAGGAUGGUCAGUCGGUAUGAGGAGAAGGAAUAUAUCAUUGACAAUGAGCUUAAGGUUCUCGAGUCGUCUGCUUCUCCUGAGGAGGUCGCUAAAUAUGAGGCACAUGAAAGAGAUGCUACCAAAGUGGCAUGCAUCAUGUGGGCCACUAUGACAGCCGAGCUCCAAAAGUCCUAUGAGGACUACUAUCCUUUUGAGAUGCACCAGGAUUUGAUGGACCGCUACCAUCAGGGUGCUCGUCAAGAGCGAUAUAAAAUCAUCUCCUUUAUGAUAAUAACCCAAAUGAAGGAUGGUGAACCCAUCAUGGGCCACAUGCAGAAAAUGUAAAGGUAUGUGGACCGUUUGCUGAAGCUAAAUGUGAACUUUCCCGAGGAGUUAGCAAUAGAGAUCAUUUUGCACUCCUUACCAUCGUGUUAUGAUCAAUUCCACAUGACAUACCACAUGAACAAGGAGAAAGUUACCCUCAGCAAGCUUCAAGGACUCCUAAAGACCACUGAAACAGUUCUUAAAGGUAAGUCGGUUGUUACCACUCCUACUCCUACUCCAAACUCUGCUCAUGUCCUGGCAAUCGGGAAAGGUAGAGGGAAAAAGAGGAAGAGCCCUUCAAAGGGUACCAAGGGUAAGACCCUUGAUGACUCCUCUUCAAGUGAAACCAAGAAAGUUUUCGUCACUCCUUCUUCUGACCCAAAAGAGGCUAAAUGUUUCUAUUGACAUGAAAAGUCGCAUUGGAAGCGGAACUGCCCAAAGUACCAGCAAGACAUAAAAGAUGGGAAAGUGAAACCCACCCAUGCAGGUAUUUACACAAUAUUGUCUAAUAACUCACCCUAUUCUAACUCUUGGGUCCUUGAUACAAGAUGUGGAAUUCACAUAUGUUCUAAUUUGCAGGGACUAAGAAGAAGUGAAUUUGGAACAUGGAAAGAUAAACUUUAUCAUGGGGAAUAGGAAAGCUUCACUUGUCACCAAGAUUGGAGUUUAUUCUUUGUUGCUAAGUAGUGGGUUUACAUUAGAUUUGAAUCAAUGGUGUUACUCCCCUGAAUGGCAAGAAAUAAUAUUUCCUUUCAUGCUUUGUACAAACAAGGGUUUACCUUUUCUUUUGAUAAUGAAGUUGGUGGAAUAAAUGGUUUCUUUAAUAAUGAUCUUUAUUUUAAAGCAUUACCUUGUGAUGGUGUGUAUGAAGUUGUGUCUGUUGUAGAUAACCUAGGAAAUAAUGUGUUGUGUAUUGAUUCUUCUAAUAAUAAUAACUUAGAUAAAGCAUCAUUAUGGCAUUGUCGUCUUGGACACGUAAGCAAGAAACGCAUAGGCCAACACCAAAAGGAUGGAGUCUUGGAGUCAUUUGACCUAAAUUCAGAUGAUAGUUGUGAAUCAUGCUUACUUGGAAAAAUGGAAAAGUCACCCUUUACUGGUUCUUGUGCAAGGGGUGAAGGUUUGUUGGAUCUAGUGCACAUAGAUGUGUGUGGACCCUUCAAAACUGCCACAAGGGAUGCUAAUCGUUAUUAUGUGACUUUUACGGAUGAUUAUAGUAGAUAUGGAUAUGUCUACUUAAUCAAGCAUAAGUCAGAGACUUUUGAAAGGUUUAAAGAGUUUAAACAAGAAGUCGAGAAUCAAUUGGGCAGGAACAUUAAGAUGCUUCGAUCCGAUCAUGGUGGUGAGUAUCUUAGUACAGAGUUCCUCGACUAUCUUAAGGAAUGUGGGAUUGUCUCACAAUUGACACCUCCCAGGACACCACAGUUGAAUGGUGUGGAUGAGAGACGUAAUCGAACCUUGUUGGAUAUGGUUUGUUCCAUGAUGAGUCAAGCUUCGCUACCAAUCUCAUUCUGGGGGUAUGCCUUAGAGACUGCCGCCCAUGUCCUUAAUCUAGUCCCUACAAAGAAAGUUGCCAAAACUCCUCAUGAGAUAUGGACUGGAAAAGAUCCUAAUCUAGACCACAUCAAGAUUUGGGGUUAUGAGGCUUUCGUGAGACGUGAGACUCACGAUAAGCUCGAACCUCGAAGUGAGAGGUGUAUUUUCAUCGGCUACCCACAUAAAUCCUUUGGUUACCUCUUCUACAGACCUAGUGAGAAUGUGGUCUUUGUAGCAAGGAGGGUGUCAUGAGAGAGAGAGAGAGUUCAUAUCCUAAUCUAGACCACAUCAAGAUUUGGGGUUAUGAGGCUUUCGUGAGACGUGAGACUCACGAUAAGCUCGAACCUCGAAGUGAGAGGUGUAUUUUCAUCGGCUACCCACAUAAAUCCUUUGGUUACCUCUUCUACAGACCUAGUGAGAAUGUGGUCUUUGUAGCAAGGAGGGUGUCAUGAGAGAGAGAGAGAGUUCAUAAGCCAAGGAAACAGUGGGAGACAAAUUGACCUUGAAGAAAUUCAAGAGUCAAGUGGUGAAGGAACUUCAAAUUCUAGCAGUCAACCUGAGGAGGAAACUCUUGUUGAUCCAAUUGACGAGUCUGUACCUCUGAGGCGUUAUCCAAGGGUUAGGAAUGCACCUGAGCACUACUAUGGUUUCCAUGUUACUGCGGAAGGUGAGACACUUAGCAAUGAUGAGACACUGGUAAGUCUGGAUCUAACAACUAUGCGGAAGCCAUGACAGACCCCGAGUCUGCUAAAUGGAAAGAAGCAAUGCACAGAGAGGUACAGUCCAUGUAUGACAAUCAAAUUUGGAACUUGGUUGACAAUGUACCAGGUCGUAAGACAGUUGGGUGCAAAUGGAUCUUCAAGUAGAAGACCGACAUGGAUGGUAAUGUACAAACGUAUAAGGCGCGACUGGUUGCAAAGGGCUUUUCUCAAACUCCGAGAGUUGAUUAUGAUGAGACCUUUUCACCAUUAGCAAAGAUUAAGUCCAUUAGGGUUCUGUUAGCCAUUGUUGCAUUUCAUGAUUAUUAAAUAUGGAAAAUGGAUGUCAAAACCACUUUCCUUAAUGGAAAGUUGGUUGAGGAUGUUUACAUGAGUCAGCCAAAGGGUUUUGACAGUACAGAGUACCCUAAUAGAGUGUGUAAGCUUGAGAAAUCCAUCUAUGGAUUAAAGCAAGCACCUCGCAAAUGGAAUCUUUGUUUCGAUGAGAAAGUCAAAGAUUUUGGUUUUUCGGGAAGUGAAGAUGAAUCUUGUGUAUAUGUCAAGGCUAGUGGGCGUAUAGUUAGCUUUUUGGUACUGUAUGUGGAUGACAUACUACUCAUAGGAAAUGACAUCCCAACUCUGCAGGAAGUUAAGUCCUGGCUUGGGAAGUGUUUCUCUAUGAAGGACCUAGGAGAAGCUGCCUAUAUUCUAGGGAUAAGGAUUUUGAGAGAUCGGAGUAAAAGACUAAUUGGACUUAGUCAGNUUGAAGAGGUUCAACAUGCAAGAUUCCAAGAAAGGAGAGUUACCCAUCCAGAGUAACGCCAGAUUGAGUAAGACUCAGAGCCCAAGUACCGAGGCUGAGAUAGUAGAAAUGAGUCGAGUACCUUAUGCUUCUACUGUAGGCUCGAUCAUGUAUGCUAUGACUUGUACUCGUCCUGAUGUAGCCAUUGCUAUGAGCAUGGUCAGCAGAUAUCAGGGGAAUCCAUGCAAGGCUCACUGAACCACAGUAAAGAAUAUCCUCAAGUACCUGCGGACGACUAAGGAUUGGGUCCUUACCCUUGAUAGGAGUGAUGACCUGAGAGUUGUAGGGUAUAGUGAUGCUAGCUUUCAAACUGAUAGGGAUAAAUUCCGCUCUCAGUUAGGUUGGGUCUUUACCUUAAACGGAGGAGCAAUUUCUUGGAAGAGUUCCAAGCAAGAGACAGUGGUUGAUUUAACUUGCGAAUCAGAGUAUAUAGUGGCAAGCGAGGCAUCAAAGGAGGCGAUAUGGCUGAAGAGCUUCAUUAGAGACCUUAGAGUUGUACCAGCUAUAAAGGAUCCUAUGGAAAUUUUCUGUGAUAGUGAAAGUGCAGUUGCUUUAGCGAAAGAACCAAGGGAUCAUGGGAGAUCCAGACACAUCGACAUAAAAUACCAUUUUAUCAGACAUUGAAUAGAAGAAGGACUCCUCGUUGCAAAGAGGGUAUCAUCGGAUGCGAACCCAGCAGAUCCCCUCACGAAGGGACCGGGUAGGGUUAAGCAUCUCCAACAUGCGAGGCGCAUAGGGCUGAAGGAUGAUAUUAGUUUUAGUAGUUAGAUAGCUCUGAAAUAUGUAAAAUGUAAUUGACAUUUGAUGAUUAAUAAAAGUUGUGUUUGUUUAUGAGUAAAGUGUUGCUAUCUUUUGUCAAUCAUUUACUAUAUUUCUUUUGCAUGUUUUGACUUCCAGAAUAAUUAUGUUUGGUAUAUCAUAUUAUUCGAAUUCUCCACAGUCAGUCAUAUGUUGGAAGUAGGUAUGAAUCAAGACUAUCAUGAGUUGGUUGCAGAGGUCUAAGUUGUUGGACAUAGCAACGACACUCAUGAGUGCUGAUAAGUUCUGAGUAUUGGAUUCAACCCACGCUCACUGGUAUCACUUCAUGGAAUUUAUCUCGAGUGAUCGUGAGACGGUAAUAUCAUAUAAGUCUUAAAACCUAGAUAUUUAUAGGUUUUGGUCCUAAGAACAUCCUAUGUGCUCAUACAAACCCUAAUGCUUGGAUCUAGGUUUCUCUAUUGUACAUGCAAGUUAUCCAAGACUAUAAACCCUAAUUCUAGCAUACAAGUAAUCAUAUUAACAUAAGAAUGGGUUUAAGAUGUUACCUUGAUUGUUAUGUAGCAAUAACAAUCCCAAAUCUCCUUGUAUUGACUUUAGAAAGCUUAGAGUCACAAAUGUCACUCCUCUAAUGGUUCACAAACACCAUAAGCAAGAGGAUGAAGAGGAGAGAGGAUGGAGGCUGCCCAAAACAUGUUCUAACCCUAGAAGAAGGCUUCACCACGUUUUUGGGUCAUAAGGGUCUUAUAUAUAGUUAGGCAAUUAGGGUUAUCUAACAAGGAAACCCUAAUUUGGAUGCUUAAGCCCUAAGCAACCCAUGGACUCCUUUAAUUAGGGCCUUGGACGAUUUCCUUAUGGGUUUCCCCAUAGAAUUCGUCCACUCCUUAAUUUAAGACAAUCCAUGGCCCAAAUUGCAAUUAUCUUAUAAUUACAAUUCCAGUCCCUUAAGUUUAAUUAAUCUCUUUUAGUCACAAAACUAAUUACCAAUUAAUUAUUGACUAAUAUUAAUUAAACAAUAUGAUUUCUCCUUUAAUAUAUUAUUCCCAUAAUAUAUUAAUAAAUCAUAUUUAAUCCUUUCUCUCCAUAAUUCAUCCUAUCAAGUUGCUUUGGUGAAGGCAACCCAAAAGGACCAUGCACCAUCGGGUCAAGUACAUACCAAAAUAGUUAUGGACUUAGACACUAAUCCAACAGUCUCCCACUUGGAUAAGUCUAAUAACUAUUCUGCGUAUGACUUCAGAUCCUGAUCUGCAAUCGUAGCUUUCCAAAGCCGCUGUCAACUCUGAUCCUAUCAGAUACGCGUGUCCUUAGAUAAGGGAUCAUAUAUUCCUCCAUUCUAGAUAUCAUAUGAGAUAUGAUUUCAAAUCAUUCUCUUUGUACUAUAUCUCGAUUCCCGAUUUAUGACGACUGACUAAUUGAACAAAUCAAAUUAGCCCUAGCCCGGCCGAGCAUUUACGUUUGUCAUCACUAAAUCAUCGAGGGGCCCAAAGAUAUCGCUUUUAUCCUACUUUGGAUAAAAGGAACGGAUAAACUUUGAUACAAUGCUUGCUUGCACUUACUCACCGAAUCACACACAACAAUAUGUUUUAUAACACCAAGUUACUAGUGCGUUUACAUAUUAUCAAUGUGCAACCGAUUUGCAAGAUACAACUCACACAUCUCGGUUUCAAGAAUAUAAGAUGUUAUCGUCUCACCAAUCACUCGUGAUACAAUUCAUGGAGUGAUCCAAGUGAGCGUGGGUUUAAUCCAAUGCUCAAAUCAUAUUCAUAAGCACUCAUGAACGUUGCAGCAAACAUUUGCUUAUGUCUAAUACUCUUUAGACAAUCCACACACCAAUUCACGACAGUCUUCAUUCAUACCUACUUCCAACAUAUGAACGACUGUGGCCCGUUCGAAUAAUUUGACUGUUCUUAACCAAUUAAAUUAUUCAGGAAGUCAAAACAUGCAAAGUGAAACACAAGAAUAAUACUAAUCCCAUAUGGCCUCAAACCUUUGAGUAUAAAUAAAACACCUUUUAUUUAUCACCAUAUCGAUUACUCAUUAUUUGUCGUUUCGGGUAAUCAACUUCUUACUUGAAUUAUUACACUUGUCCCAUGCUCCUAGCAUGCACACAAUGUUUACCUAUGGUUCUUACUUUGUGAAAUAGAUCAAAUUGAACACAUUUCCAAUCAUUCUCAUUUCACAACUCCAAAUCCUUUUUCAUAAGUGAAAGAAUAUCAAAUUCUUGCUACUUAUAGAAUAUGCUAGAUUCUAACAUUUUAUGCAAUGAUCCUUUCGUAAUGUCACUGCACCAAAGUCACAAAGACUAUUGCCAAUGAUAUUACAAAGUCCUCUAUCGGAGAUUGUUACAAGACAAUUCCUUAGAUAUGAUGUCUCUCACUCAAAGUACAUUCCUUUGAACAUCCUUUUGCAUAAAAGUUUCUAAUCUAGACAUAGAUUUUCAAUAUUCAAUUCCCAAUAUGGACACGUUUCCAUAUUUUCCAUAUGACAACUCAUUCUUAAUAGAAUCUUAUCUAUUCAUAAUAAUGUCGAUAUGGUCCAUCCAAUAUGGAAACAUUUCCAUAUUUUCCAAUACUAUACUUCCAACUACUCACAAGCGACCAAUCCUCGUCGAACUUUGGAUUGUCCUUUGAUAGUUGUUUAAUUAUUUUAGUCAAAACCGAUUCUAGUCCCUUUUCCCUCUAAAUGCGCUAGACAUUUGGAAAAUUUUAGAAUGGUCAAACAUUAAAGCAUUUGCAAUCGAUCCUAUACCCGAAGCGUAUGGGACACGACGCAUAAUGUUUUAUUUGCUAUGUUCUCAAAAUUCGAAUUGUGAAGAGGAAUGCCGUAAUCAUAAUCGAAAUUUUAAGAACACACUAUGUACCUUUGACUAAAUUUAUUAACAUUUCUCAACCUAAUCCUUUAGAUUUGAAAUGAAGCAUAAUAUUCUCUCCCUUAAUUAUAGCAAAACAACCUUUCAACUCUUACAACUUUGCAAAGUAUGACUCUUGUUUUCUAUAAUUAAUAUUGCUAACCUUGCAAUACUUUCCUUAAUAAUCAUACAAUCAUAACAUUUAUGCUCCCACUAUUAUGAUGAUUAUUAUAAACUUAACACUUAUGCUCCCACUAGCUUCGACAUGUAUUCAUAAACAUCUUAACUUUCAGAAAAACAAUACCUAUUGAAUUUCAUAAGUCCAUGUUUCUAAUACCUAAUGCUUUGAUAACCUUUUAUCAAGGAAUUUUGAACUUAUACACCUUUGCCUUAGAUAGUUCAUAUGUGUGUCUAAACAAUUAAGACUAAUUGCCAAACCUCACAAUUCAAAUUAUGGAAAGGGAUACCGUAAGCAUAAUCGAAUUUGAGAAUGCAAUUUUACAAUCACUAUCUUCUUAAAAUCUUUCUUAGUGAAAGCAUUUCCUCAUAAUCAUUUUCAUGAAGGAGGAAAUCUUAUGACACUUAGAUUUAAACGGUGUAUUUGUUCCUAUUCAUGUGAAUUUGUCAAAACCAAAGUUUACGACAAAUUCAAACUCAUAUGGAUCGAACUUUCUUAAUCUCGAUUUCUUGCCUUAUGGUAGCACAGCUGCCCACCAUGUCUUCCAAGUAGUUAAGCAGCUCACCUUUUCUUAUCAAUGUACUUUCCAUUGAUCAAGGUCCUUGCCUUUUAUGCAUUCAAAUGAGAACUCAUAGGACUCACAUGCAUAAUUAACUCGAUUGGAUUGGCACAGAAACAAAAUAAUGUCAACACGAUAGGUUGUAAACCUCAACUCGUGUGCUAGUGAUGAUCGAUAAGGUUUAUUUGAUUUGUUCUUGAAACCUUUCAAGACCAUUAAGACUCCCACUGACUCCUUGACAUAUAAGAUUCUCUUGUCAAUAAACAUUUCUUGACAAACAAAUAUUCAAGAGUUAGUGUAGNNNNNNNNNNNNNNNNNNNNNNNNNNNNNNNNNNNNNNNNNNNNNNNNNNNNNNNNNNNNNNNNNNNNNNNNNNNNNNNNNNNNNNNNNNNNNNNNNNNNNNNNNNNNNNNNNNNNNNNNNNNNNNNNNNNNNNNNNNNNNNNNNNNNNNNNNNNNNNNNNNNNNNNNNNNNNNNNNNNNNNNNNNNNNNNNNNNNNNNNNNNNNNNNNNNNNNNNNNNNNNNNNNNNNNNNNNNNNNNNNNNNNNNNNNNNNNNNNNNNNNNNNNNNNNNNNNNNNNNNNNNNNNNNNNNNNNNNNNNNNNNNNNNNNNNNNNNNNNNNNNNNNNNNNNNNNNNNNNNNNNNNNNNNNNNNNNNNNNNUGGGUUGCAUGGCAUCAUGCCUUUGGAUAGGCUAAAAUGAGAGAAAUAACACUCAUGGUUUAUUAAUAUAUUAUAAGUUCUAAUAUAUUAAUAAUAUUAUUUAAUUAGUAUUGAUCAAGAAUUAAUUUAGAAUUAAUUAAGUGAUCAAGAGGUGACUAAUUAAAUAUAUGGGUUGGUUGUGUAAAUUAUUUAUACUUGUAUAGUGGGCUAAUGCUCCAUGGAUUAUCAAGUUGGGAUAAAACUCAUAAGAUGCUCCAUGGUGGUUAUAUAACCCAUGGGUCAUGGAAAUGAAAGGUCAUGUCAAUUAGGGUUUACAUGGUGUAAUCCAAAUUGUAACACGCUAUAUAAGGACCCUUAUGUUCACCAAAAUCGGCACGAAAAGCAAGACUGAAGAGGGCUAGCCGAUUUCUAGUAGUGUGACAUUUCUCUCAAAGUUUAUUCCAAGUGUAUUUGGUGUUGUGUGAGACAUUUGAGGCAUCACACUUGGGGUGCUAGGCUCUCAAGGUUUUCCAAGGAAUCCAAACUACUACAAGGUAUGUUCUCUACCUAACUUUUAUAUUGAAAAGUUCCCCAUGUAUGAUAGAUGGGAUUAUGAACCUUGGAAAUCAAUUUUUGCAUAUAUCUUAGUCACACAUAAAUCCAAGGUUUCUAGGGUUGCAUGAACACCUUAGGAGUGUUAGAUUGCUCAAAACCCUACUGUGGUAUCAGAGCCUAGGCUUGUUUGUUUGAUACUUGUUGCAAAAUAGCGGAAAAAGUCGAAAUUCUUGUUGUCUGCACAGGAGACUCGCCGAUUCCAUGGGGGGACUCAACGAGUCCAAGCGUAUCUGCAACCAACUCGGCGAGUCGGUUCUUGCACUCGACGAGUUGGCUAGGUAGAGUGAAGAACACCAUAGGGAACAUACCUUGUAGUCAAACAUAGAAUGCUUAAAACCCUACAAAGUCCUGGCUUGGGAAGUGUUUUGCUAUGAAGGACCUCAGAGAAGUUGCUUGUAUUCUAGGGAUAAGGAUAUUGAGAGACAGGAGUAAAAGACUAAUUGGACUUAGUCAGAGUUCCUACUUGGAUAAGGUGUUGAAAAGUUUUAACAUGAUGGAUUCCAAGAAAAGUGACUUACCCAUCCAAGGCAAUACCAAACUGAGUAAAACUCAGAGUCCGAGUACAGAGGCUGAAAUAGUUGAGAUUAUUCGAGUACCAUAUGCUUCCGCAGUUGGUUCGAUCAUGUAUGCUAUGACUUGUACUCGCCUUGAUGUGGCAUUUGCUUUGAGCAUGGUCAGCAGAUAUCAAGGAAAUCCUGGUAAGGCUCACUGGAUUGCGGUAAAGAACAUUCUCAAGUACCUGCGGAGGACUAAGUAUUGAUCCCCUCGGUGGGAGUGAUGACAUGAGAGUAAUGGGGUAUAGUGACGCCAGCUUUCAGACCAUCAGACAUAAUUUCCGCUCUCAGUCAGGCUGGGUAUUUACCCUGAAUGGAGGAGCAAUAAAUGGGAAAAGUUCCAAGCAGGACACUGUAGCUUAUUCAACUUGCGAAUCAGAGUACAUAGCAGCAAGCGAGGCGGCGAAGGAUGCAAUAUGGCUAAAGAACUUCAUCGGAGACCUUGGAGUUGUACCAGCUAUAAAGGAGCCUAUUGAGAUUUUCUAUGACAGCGAUAGUGCGAUUCCUUUAGCUAAGGAACCAAGGGAUCAUGGCAGACCCAGGCACAUCGACAAAAAAUAUCACUUCAUAAGACAUCGAAUAGAAGAAGGGCUCCCUGUAGCAAAGAGGGGAUCCUCAUAGGAAAACCCAACAGAUCCCCUCAUGAAGGGACUGAGUAGGGUUAAGCACUUACAGGAUGCGAGGUACAUCGGGCUGAAGGACGAUUUUAGUUUUAAUGACUGUAUAGAAUUUUAGAAAGUUGUAAUAGUUGAAAUGUAAUUGACAUUUGAUGAUUGAAUAAAAGGUGUUUUUUAUUUAUAAGUAAUGUUACUAUUUUGUGUAAAUCAUUUACUAUUGUUUCAUUUUGCAUGUUAUGACUUCCAAAAUAAAUAUAUUAUUCAAACUGUCCACAGCCGAUCAUACUUUGGAAGUAGGUAUUGAGGCGAGACUGUCAUGAAUUUGGCUUGUAGAUUGUCUGAAGUGUAUUAGACAUAGCAAAGUUUGCUACAACAUUCAUGAGUGCUCAUAAGGUCUGAGUAUUGGAUUAAACCCACGCUCACUUGAAUCACUUCAUGGAAUUUAUCUCGAGUGAUCGUGACACGAUAAUAUCAUAUAAGUCUUCAAACCAAGAUAUAUGAGUUAUUGACUAUGAGUUGGUUGUACAUUGAUAGUGCGAAACCGCAUUAGUAACUUGAUGUUAUAAAACACACUAUUGUGUAUGAUUUAACAAGUAGUUAGUACAAGCAUAUAAUGUCGAAGUUUAUUUGUUCCUUUUAGUCCUUGGAGGAUUAAAAGCGAUAUCUUGGGCCCCUCGAUGAUUUUGUUUUGACUUAUGUUAUGGGCCCGGUCAGAACUCAAUUGAUGUGUUCGAUUAAGUUUUAUGUCAAACAAAUCGGAAACCGGGAAACAAACAGUCGGGCAAUUAGUAUGACAUUGUUCCAUGUAUUUGUCCAACUGAUAUCUUGAAAAACAUAGGAUUAUAUGAUGCCUUGUCUAAAUGACAUGACAGAAUUUGACAGAGGCUUUUAAGAGCUACGAUUUCUAGUCGGUUCCUGAACUCGUACUUGCAGCUAUAGUUAUUAGACUUAUCCAAGUGGGAGACUGUUGGAUUUAGUGUCUAACCCCAUAACUAUAAUUGGUAUGUACUUGACCCGAGAGUAGCAUGGUCCAUUUGGGUUGCAUUUCACCUGAACAAUUUGACAGAAUGCAUUUUUGAGAAGAGGAUAUUUAUGAUUUAUUAAUAUAUUAUAAGUUCUAAUAUAUUAAUAUGAAAUCAUAUUAUUUAAUUAGUAUUGAUCAAUAAUUCAUUUGGAAUUAAUUUGGUGAUCAAAAUAGACUAAUUAAAUGUAUGGGGAUUGAUUUGGUAAAUCAAUUAUUCUUAUAGUGUGGACCAAUGGUUAUUUAGGAUGGGUUAUAAGUACAUGGAUAGUCCAUGGAGGUUUAACCCAUGGAGCCUAAGUAAUAUGAAAGGUCAUGUCCGUUAGGGUUUACAUGGAUGUAACCCUAGACUUUGUCACACUAUAAAAGAAGCCCCUUAGCUCCUAAAAUCGACACUAGUGGUUCUAGGAGAUCGUAAGAGCCGAUUUUUGUGCAAGUCUCUCUCUCUCUCAAGUCUUCCAUUGUUGGUGGUGUUUUGUGAAGCAUUUGAGGCAUCACAUUUGGGGCGCUAGGCUCUUAAAGGUCCAAGUUAACAAGCUACAAGAAGAGGUAAGUCAUCUAACUAGUUUUUGUUAUUCAAGUACCCAUGCUUUGUAUGUUGGUUAGGACAAUGCUUUGGAAAAUCAAAUUGCAUGUAUAAUUAGAGAAAACAUAGAUCCAAAGCAUUUAGGGUUGCAUGUGCACNCAAUAUAUAUAUAUAUAUAUAUAUAUAUAUAUAUAUAAUCAUGCUCAAACAUACAAUGAUCAUAAACAAUAGCAUACGUUUCAGUUAUCGAGCCUCACCCGACAUCGAGCCUCGCCCGGUAUACAUAGCAGCACAUAACACAUGCAAGGGUCAUGCAGACUUCUAGCAUCCUAACAUAAACAAUAAGGGUCGGCAUUGGUGCCUUAGACCCGCUAAACUCAGUGAGGAAACUCACCUCGACUGCCGAAUCUCACUAAAAAAUCCUGGUUGCUGGUCCGACAAAUCCCCGAGCUAUCAAUACCAAAAUAACACCCAAUUAACAUUUAGGUUCCAAACCAUAUCCAAUAAUCCAUACUCGGGGUAAAAGUACCAUUUUACCCCUAACUUUGCUUGGUCCAAGACUAAGGCCCAAAAGCCAAUUAAUCAACCAAGGCCCAAUUAUGGCCUAAUUUUCCAAAUUAGGCCCAAACGCCUUACAUGAGCGUUAACCUAAAACCCAGCCAUUUUUCCUAGUCCAAAACACUUACACUCGGAUGGCCCAAUAAGAACUCAAACAACCAAGCCAAAAAGAAAGCCCAAACUCAAAGCCCAACAUGCAAAAUUUCACCUCGCUGAGUACAUGGGGCGUACUCAGCUGUACGCCAAGCGUACAUGCAAAAAGACUUGUACGUUGUGCGUACAAACUUGUACGCCCAUCGUACAUACCCAUUAAACCAAAUUUCUCUUUAAGCUCUUAAUGCUUAAGUCCAAAAGUCUAAAUCACAGAUCUCAGCCCUAAUAAACAUCUAGAACCAUAAAGUCACUAACUUGGUGACUUUGCAUGCCCCAUAAAGGCCCAACUUCAAGAUAUAGCAUAAUACUUUCACCAAAUGGACAUAAACUCAUGCAUGGGGAUUCUAAACCCUAAAGGUGCCAACUUUAUAGACCUUAAACCUCAGAAACACCAAGAGUGGCAACUCAUAGCUCCUGGAGUGGUAUUAACAACUAUAUCUCAUUCUUGGGGCCAAAAAGGGACCAAAACUCAUAUAAUAGAUCUAAGCCAUAAAUGAACAAGUUCGUAGCUUUAUACCUUAAACAAGUUGGAAAUUAAGCAAAUAAUCAAGAUCCACAAGCUCUUCCUUGAUCCACCACCUUGCACCAAGCCUCUACUUUUUGAAUAUGGACCAAAACACACCAAAAUGGACACAAUGAGCUCAAAACACAAAGGAGAUGCUUAGGGCUUUGAAUAUGAGGCUAAAAGGUCAGAGGAAGUUGAGAAAUAAGGGUUUCAUGAGCCAUAAAGAUGAUUAUAUAGUGUCCAACCCCAAAAUUAGGGUUUUCAUUAAAGCACACAUUCGCCCCGCGUGCAUGGAUGUACGCCUCGUGUACGUGUCCGGAACCCCGUCCAAGCCUCGCAUGAGUACGCUAAGCGUACAAUGUGGUACGCCCCGCGUACAUGCUUUGCAGUUUGUAUGCCAAGCGUAUCAUGUGGUACGCCCCGCGUACAACACAAAGACCAAAAUGCAAUUAAUCAAUACACAAGGGGCAAUAAUGAACAUACCAGGAUUCCAAAUGUUACAUUAUAUCAUCAAUACAAAAAUGAGUUUAAAAAUUGAAUAUAAAUAAUUUAUAAAAUAAAAAAAUGUUUUAUUUUAUAUGUUUGUAAGCAUAAAAAGAUAAAUGGUUUUGCUUUUGUAAAAUGGUUUUGACAUUGUAUAAAUUAAAUGUGAAUAACAACACCGUGUGCAUAGUAGGACAUUUUAUUUAAGUGAACUAUUAACUUUUGAUUUUUUCAAAAAGUUAAAAAAUUAUAAAAGAUUUGAAAUUAUUUUUUACAUAAGAAUAGAUGGUUAUUUUUUUAAAAUACAACUUUUACCUUUUAAAAAUAUAAACUAACUUUAAAAAUCAAGAAAUAUUAAACAAACCUUUUUAAAACAUAAAUUAACUUCAAAAAUCAAAAAAUAUUAAACAAACAGGUAUUUUUCACUUUUUUGAAGGUGAUCGUUUGACUUUUACCCCCUCAAAAAAGUUUUUUUACACAAAAUAAAAAAAUCAAUCCCAAACUCCCGUAAACCAAUAUGCGUAUACAGUAACAAUAAUCCAAACUCGAAAGCAUCAAAUUAGACAAAAAAAAUAAUGGAGUUUGAAUAAACAUAAGUAGACAAACUUGAGUCCAAUAAUUGACUGAAUCUCAUCUAUUGCAUAAACAUAGAAUCACUCAAGAAGAAGAAUUCCACAAGAAAUUAAAAACUAAUUGAUUCGUGAGCAUCAAUUACACAUCCGAUACACGGUGAUAUCCGAUGAAUUUGUAUUAAGAGAAUCAUUCGAGAUGAAGAAUUCGACAAGAAAUUGAUAAAAAGUAACUGAAUUUGUAUUAAGAGGCAUCAAUUACACAUCAUAUCAAUUCAGAUUACAUAAUCUAACUAAUAAAAAGCCUACACCCAGAAACGAAAAGAUAGCAAAUUUCUAUCAACCACCAAAUCCGUAGAGAGUACGACCUUGGCGCUUCAAAGCAUAAACGACAUCCAUGGCAGUAACAGUUUUCCGGCGAGCAUGCUCGGUAUAUGUGACGGCGUCACGGAUGACGUUCUCAAGAAAGAUCUUCAAAACUCCACGGGUCUCCUCGUAGAUUAACCCACUGAUACGCUUAACACCUCCUCGUCUGGCCAGACGGCGGAUCGCCGGCUUGGUGAUACCUUGGAUGUUGUCCCGGAGAACCUUACGAUGUCGUUUGGCUCCUCCCUUUCCCAAUCCCUUGCCUCCUUUUCCUCUCCCUGACAUUUUUUUUCUCUCGCUUUCUCUCUCUAGAAAUGAGUUCGAUUUUCGCUUGUGUUUGAAACCGGCGUGAGGGUUUCUACUUAAAGGUGGAAUAUGAUCGUAUGUUUGUAUACAUCCGUUGGAUGAGAUGAAAUAAGGGCCAUAUGAGCCGUACGAUUGCAAUCCGUGUGAUGAGCUAUUAGAGCUGUUGAUUGGUUCGUUUGACAUGUGCUGGAUCUAGGUGAGGGUAACUCGGGUCAUCCAUUGUGCAACGUGCUAAAUAAGUGGGUAAGAGUAAUUAAUAUUUUUUUAAAGUGUAUUUAAAUUGAAUAAUCGAUUAAGGUGUUGUAUCAUUUUAUUUAUUGGAUUUAACGAGGAAAUAAUUAGUUUGUGUAGACAUAUAAUGGUGUUUUUUUAUUUAAUAUGUAAACGUAAGCUUAAUUGAUUUAUUAUGUUAUGUAGUAUUUUAUUAUUUCACGUAAAAUGUUUAAAACACUUUUUCGAACUAUCCGGGUGUAAUAUAUAAAUUUAAAACUAAAAUUAGAAUAUAUAAAAAAAAUUAACAAACAUAAAUUAAAAAUAUAGCAAGGAGUUCAAAUGGACAAAAAUUACAUGUGAAUAUUUAGAAUCGGAUUUUGUAAUCUUUCUAUUGUCAAACCAACCAAACAAAAAUAUUAGGUGCUUCUCACGAAGGAAAUCGUUUGGUAAAUAACAUUAUUUCGGUAGCUCUAUAUCACUCAUGGAGUAAUAGGAAUGCCCACUAUCUUAUUAAACAUUUUAUAUAUGUCUUUAAAUUUAAGAAGUACAACACUUAUUGCCUCAUGUACAAGUAAUUAUCUGACACACCUACUAACACAUCCGUUUUGAUAAUUAAUAUGGGAAUUAAACACUAUUUCAUUUCUCUAUUUUUCCCCGACUCACAAUUAUUCACCAAAACCCUAAAUCAAUCGUCUUCGCUAAAAACAUACCAUCGUUCCAGCAACAUCUCUUAUAUCACACAACUUUCUUCAAUCUCUAGUAUCCAUCUGUUACUACCACCCUCUAGACGUCGCGGUUACCACCAUUGGGGUCCGCAACCCCCCAUGUCGUCGUGCUUCUACCUUAUGUUGAGACGAGAAACACUACCCUUAUAUUGUUGUCACCGUCAAACACCAUCACCACCAUACAUCACACACCAUAAACCAGAAAAGCCCCCAUUACGAAUUAAUUCUCACUCCCCCUUUGUCUCAUACCACUAUCACACCAGCAACGCACCGCCACCCAUUUUCCACCAUUGCACCACCAACAGUCAUUUAUCGACGUCUUUAUGCAAUAUAUGUCGUUACAUUACUUAUCCGUCGACAAACGACCACACAGACGGUCCCUUUUUUUAUUCAAAAUCUUGAAGAUCUUGGUUUGGAUUCUAAAUUGAUGAGACUUUUUUGCAGACAAAAAUGCCCCUACGAACUAUUAUGGUUAAGUACUAUUAUAAAAAUCUCGACUAGGUCCCGAUUAAUCUCCGAUUAAUCCCUAGGCGUUACUCAGUCGAUUAGAGGGCGCCUAUCGAUUAAUCACUGCAUACAUAAUGAGUGAAAACAUUAUAAAAUGAUACAAUUUUAACAUUUUGAAGAAAUUUUAUUCCAAUGGAAACUAUUUGAGGCAUGAUUAGUGUUGUAUUAAUCAUAUUAUCCUAUUUUGUUAUCAUAUUAGUGAUAUUUACAAACUUUGAUAUGAUAUUAGUCAUAUUUUUUUUCUAAAAUUCAACAAAUUAGCAAUUAAUGGUACCCGAUUAAUCUACGCCUAGCCGAUUAAUCCAUUGACCCCAGUCCACCGACUAGCUAACGUCGAACGAUUUUUACAACUUUAAUAACCAUUAACCGACUGAAAUCAUUAUCCAAAACCAAUAUCAACCGCUACCCAAUGGCUAUUGAAAUACAUUAACCAAUUGUAAUGGUUAUGGUUCGGUUUUGAACAAUAAACAAACCAACCGCCUCAUACACACCCCUAAUAAAUAAGGUAGGGUUGGAGAGAAAUAGGGAAAGAAAAUGGAUGAAAAAUGGAAAAUUGAAGUGGAUUGAAAAUGCUCUUAAGCUGUUUUCGCAUAUAAGAAGUUAUUACUUAGAGGGUGUUUGGUUUUUUUUAAACAGUUUAUUGAUUUAUUGGUUAUUUAAAAAACCAUUAAGCUUAAAAAAUUAUUGAAUAUUGCAUAAUUGCUUUUUAAACUGAAAAUGACAAUACUAUACGUAAUAAACUCUUUUUUUUCUUUAUUUCUCUUUGCAUGUUUUUUUAGUUAUUUUACAAUUAUAGAAGACUUCAUUUAUCUAUAUCCCUUUCUUGCUUAUCCCUACUAUUUAAUCAUUAUUCUAAUUAAUUAGCUUAUGAUUGCACUUAUAAUUACUAGUAUGUAAUGAUUAAUACUUUUUUAUAUUUAAUUACUAAAAUAUCUUUUAUAUUUUAAAAUUUAUACAUAAAACAUAUUUUAUAUUUUAUUUAGUUUAUUUACCAGUAAUACAUAAAUAUUAAUAAUAAUCAUGAUAUCGUAUCUAUAAAUCAUAAAUAUUAAUAGUAAUCAUCAUUUAUGUGAUUUAUUUUAUGUUGGUGUAUUAAAAAUCUUCAAAUAUCAAUGUAUAUAUGAAUUAAAAUAAAUAUAAUAUUAGAAGGUGUAAAUGUAAUAUUAUCAGUAUUGAUAGAGUGUAAUGUAAAAUAGAGGAUAUGAAAUUGGUUAUGUUAUAAACCUUAGUUGCUACUCCUUCUUUUCUCUCAUCCUCCGAUCCCUUUUUUUUCUUAUCCUCAAACUGGUGUGUGUUGCUCGCCAAUGAUGGCAGGAAAACCAGCAACAGCCGAAGUUGUUGUUGGUCGUGUGCGGCGGCGGUGAAGCCCGAUGGAUGAUUCAAAAUGGUGCACAGGCAGAUCCGACAGUGAUUCACGAUAUUCUUUCUCUUUCGCUCGAUCUGAAUGUUGGUUGGUGGUCGGGAUUCUGACGGUAGCCGUAAUUGCUCUUAUUAUGUCUAUUUUUCGAUCUUAACGGCGGUAGCGUUACCGGCGUUGGUGAGUGGCGGGUGAAUGUCGUCGGCGUUAGUUUAUUGUUUAAAAGACUAUUUUGUAUAUUGUUAACUGGUUUUUAUUUUGAUGGUUUAUGCCCGAAUUAAGUGACGCGCAUUUUUCAAUAUACAAUGUACUGGACAGAAUCUGAUGACAUGCAUGAUAUAUUUUCAAUGUCUUGGAAGUUGUAACAAUUUAUAUUUAUUGGUCGAACAUAUUAAAAAACACAGUUAAUGAAGAAUUUGAAAUCUUUUCAUCAGAAAAGUAAUAACGAAAAGGAUAGGUUUAAAAUUUCAAGGGUAGGGAUAACUUACCCUUAUAAAAAAUUUUCUUCCAUCCUCUCUUUCCAUGUAUUUUUUUAGUUAUUUUACAAUUAUAAAAAGUUGUCACCAUAAAAGUUGAUCUUAACAUUUUUUUAAAAACACAUUUUAUCAUCACCAUAAAUCAAUAAUCAGUUUUGUUCAAAAACACUGAAGUUUAAAAAACAAUCCCAAACAGCUAUUUAGCUUUUAACAAUAACAUGUCUUUUUUUUACAAGGAUUAACAGAGUCAUUAUUGCAUCCCGUGUUCAAUUAUUGAUUUGAUCCUUCCUUUUAAGACAAAAUAUACAAUCUUGUGGUAUUUAACUCGAUUGCAAAAAAUAACAUAUCAAAAACACAUCAACGAAUUCGAGAACGAUUACACAAACUGCAACACAGAGUUUCAUUGAUCAGGUUACAGAUCCAGAAAAGUCAAACAUACAAAUUACUAAAUUCUAAGUCCAGAUUUGUUUUUAAAAAAAUGAGUGAUACGUUAUUUGCAAUGACUACAUCAAAGGGAAAAUACAUGAUCAGUGAAAGCUAUGUAGACCUCUCAACAAUUCAAUAUCUAAAUCAAUUGACCAAGUAUCAUCCUACUGCUUUUAGAACCCUAGAAAUGAUAAUACGUUGCUUGAUCUGCAAGCAAUAUUGCAUACUCUGAUAGAAUAAUUACACUAUUUUCCAGAUGCAAAUGCCCUAAAAAGCAUUCAAAUUCAAGGACAAAACUAAAUUCCAUGUGCUAGAUAUAGAUAAAUCAUUCGAGAAAGAAGAAAUUUAAACCAUAAAUUGACUUGCUAUCUGAUAUUAUAUUAAGAACUUCAAUUACAAGUAAUAUCACUUCGAAUUAAACUCUGGUGUCAAACAAGAACCCUAGAAACCCUAAACUUCUAUUAACCACCAAAUCCGUAGAGAGUACGGCCUUGGCGCUUCAAAGCAUAUACGACAUCCAUGGCGGUGACAGUUUUCCGGCGAGCAUGUUCGGUGUAUGUGACGGCGUCACGGAUGACGUUCUCAAGAAAGAUCUUCAAAACUCCACGGGUCUCCUCGUAGAUUAAGCCACUGAUACGCUUGACACCUCCUCGUCUGGCCAGACGGCGGAUCGCCGGCUUGGUGAUACCUUGGAUGUUGUCCCGGAGAACCUUACGAUGUCGUUUAGCUCCUCCCUUUCCCAAUCCCUUGCCUCCCUUUCCUCUUCCUGACAUUUUUUUAUUUUUUUUUUCUCUAAAAAUGAAAUUGAAUUCCGAUUGUGAUUGUGAUUGAAAUGUCGUAGAUUUGGUAGGGCUUUUGUAAGUAAAGGUGGGAAGGGUAUAUGUUUUUGUGGCCGUUGGAUCCAAUAAUAUACAAGGGAUUGUUGGCCGUACGAUUGUAAUCCGUGUGAUCAGCAACAAAACGUUUUGGUUGGUUCGUUUUACUAUUGCUUGAUCUAGGUAAAGAUUAUGUCCCGGAUAAAUUGAAGAGAUUUUUUUCACCAAUUAACUUCAUAAAAGGAUAAUUGACACAAAAAACAUUUUUUUUACAUAAAAAUUUGAUUUUGAUAUUAUGUUUUUUUUUGUGUCAAAUUUGACACCGUGUUUUCUAAUUUGUUACAAUUCUGACCACUUGACCGGUUAACUAGGUUACAUGCAGACGUGACAUGAUAACGUGUAAGUUUGAUGACGUGGCAUGUUGACAUGAUAUGCUGACAUGUCAAAAUUAAUUUUUUUUCUCACAAAAAACACUAAGUUUUUAUUUUUUUCGAUUUUGACACUAAGUUUAAUUUUUUAUUUCAACUUUGACACUAUGUUUUUUGUUCCAAAAUGAACAUUUUUUUUCCAAUUUUGUUCAGUGUUGACAAUUUUCUAUUUGAAAUCGUAUAAAUAUUUUUUAAUAAUUUAAACCGUAUAAAUAUGUUUUUUUUAUUUAAAAACCAUAGUUUUGUAUAAAUACAUUUUUUUUUUACAUUCAAACUAUAUUUUUAUGUAUAAAUAUGUAUUAGUUAUAUAAAAAUUAUAUUUUAUAUUAAAUAUGCAACUUUAAAAUGUGUUUGGAGGUUUGGAGACAUGUAGUCGAUCAAAACUCGGAUAUCAAGUUUGCAACCCAUCAAAUUUUUACAUCUUAUUAAAAGUUUAUGGUUAGUUUGAUUCUCAUGAUAUAACUUUUUUUGAAUGUAAGAAAAAAACACAUUGUAUUUAAAUAAAAACGUGGUUUUUAAACGAAAAAAAAUAUGUUUAUACGGUUUAAAAUGUAAUAAAAAAAUAUAUUUACACGGUUUCAAAUGGAAAAUAAACAAAAUUGAACAAAAAUUAAUAAGUGAUGUUCGAUUGGAACAAAAAAAACAUAGUGUCAAAAUUGAAAUAAAAAAUUAAACUUAGUGUCAAAAUCGAAAAAAAUUGAAAACUUAGUGUUUUUUGUGGGAAAAAAAUCAAUUUUGACACGUCAGCAUAUCAUGUCAACAUGCCACAUCAUCAAAACUGACACAUCAUCAUGCCACGUCAGCAUGUAACCUGGUUAACCGGUCAAAUGGUCAGAAUUGUAACAAAUUAGAAAACACAGUGUCAAAAUUGACACAAAAAAAACACGGUGUCAAAAUCGAAUUUCUAUGUAAAAAAAAUGUUUUUUGUGCCAUUUACCCUUCAUAAAAUCAUAGCUUUACUUUUUUAAUAAAAAUUGAUAAAAGAAACAUGAUAAUUGUUUAUAUAAAAAUAUAAUAAACCUGAAAUCCUUAGAUUUUAGUACUUUUGGUUUUUAACCGGUCCUAAUAAAAAAAUGUAUAUCUAUUGGAUUUUAUUUUUGAUGUAUUAACGAUAAAUGUAUAAUGUUUUAUCGUAUAAUUUUAUUGUAUUUUCCUUGUUUGACGGAUAAAAUGUAUGAGGCAGUUUGGUUCGGUUAUUGGUUAAAACUGAAACAUAACCAUUACAAUUGGUUAUUGUAUUUCGAUAACCAUUGGCAGUGGUUAAUAUUGGUUUUGGUUAGGGUUUUAGCCGGUUCGGUUUAUGAGGUUCAAUUUUAGAUGAAAACCAUAAUUGAACCAUAUGUAUUCGGUUAAUUAAAAUUAAAAACCGCACCAUAUCUUUUACUAAUGGUUUUGUUAAAAUGAUUUGGUUAUAUCGGUUAAUUUUGUUAUGGUUCUGUUUUUUGGUUAACGUGUUCACCCCUAGAUUUUAUGACAGAUAGUGUAAUUUUAUUGUUAUGUUAGUGUAAUUAAAAUUUUGAUCAUAAAAUAACAAUUUACAUAUUCGGAUUGAGGAUGUCAUUUGAGUCACAUACAUAAAGGUGUCAGUUCUGUGAAAAAUAUGAUUGGGCAUUGGCUUUUUUUUAAGAAAGCUAUAUCAAACUAUGGGUAAGCAUAGGCGGGUACCUGACUAAAUUUAGUGGAACCAGAACCGCCGGUUCAUAAAAUGUUAGAACUAAAACCAGAAUCGGUUACAUCAGUUCCUACAAUUUUAGAACCGCUCCCAUAACCACCGGAACCGGUUCCGAUUCCGGGUACCCGCUUGCUAAAAACUUUUAAACUGUUUUAAGCCAAAGGUAAUGGGAUUCUUAACAUAUGCCCAUAUUUUGAGACCUCACACUCAUUGUUUUGAAAUUUUUAAAACUUUUUAUGUUCACAGCAAGCUCAAAUACUCCAACCCGUUUAAAGUUUGCAAUUCAAGCCUUAUUGUUGUAGUGGGAAAUCAAUAGGGCGCCUUUUCCUUUAUAAGUUAAACAACAUUCAAGCAUUGUUGCAUCAAGCGAUAUGGGAUAUUAUAUCCUACACUUUCAGUUCUCGACUACUCCCUUUACUUUCCUAUAUUUAUGUUAUCUAAUAUUCACAAUUUCUGUUGCAUUGUUCCAUUGCUACUUUAAAGAAUUAAAACCAAGACAACUUCAUAUCUAAGUUUAAAAAAAAUGUGAGCGUCAUUAUCAUUCAAAUCGGGUAUCACAAAAAUGUAAUGCAAUAUUACGAUAAAGGCCAGUGUAGCUGAACAACUUUGGUGUUGGUUGGGACUGAACUGAAGCCUGAACCAGCUCCCUCGUCUAGGUAUCUAUCUCAAUCUCUCGCCUCCUCGCAGCAUCUUGAAGCUCAGCGAGGGUACUACAUCGAUGGGUAGACAUAAACUGACAAAUAUUCGUCUUGAGCAUGCUUAAGUACUGAGUCAUCUAAACAUGCUCUGAAACAACAAACUCAGGACAUAAAAAAGCCCUCUCAGUGAAUAUCUUGGUGAUCUUUGUCACUAACUCGGUCUUCUAUCUUGGUAUAGCGCCGGUCAAACUCCUCACUCAAUGUGAUCUUGACCAACCCAAAUAGCUAUGGAAUCACCUCCCUGAUCGCCUCUACCAACUCGGCAACAAUGAUCAUGCGGAUCUCCUCCUCAUGCAUACCUGCUCUCCUAGUGCCACCAACACCUGAUCCUAAACCUCCAAAAGCCUCCAUACUAAGAAUAUACCAAGGAAAUAUCAGACAUCAAAACAUGGUGAUCAACACACCAGGCCACACUCCUAUUAGUUCCUUAGUAAUCUCGAUGUUCCUCCUGAAUCUCAUACGGGUCAUGUGCUUUUAGUAGUAUGAGCCCAUACUACCUUCCACACCUUUCCGUAGUCGAUUCAUAAUUCAUCUCAAGGUCAUAAGUUAGUGCACUAGACCACUCCUAGGUGUGUUAACACACGCUUCUCCUAAAAUUUAUAAAUAACUUCCUAGGCACUCUUCCUAGUAUUAUCCUUGCUCUAGCACCACCGGUUACUUUUGUGCAUUAUUGUUGAACAUAAUACGAGAUCAAACAGACUGUUGAAUAAUCGACUCAACUCUAAGUCCACAACCAAACAACGAACAUGAAGUAAGGCUAAGUCGAUCAUUCUAAGGCUGUUCAAUCCCAACCAUAUACAACUAAUCAACAUACACGCAACAAUCACAAAUCAAGUAAUAUAUAUCUGGCAACCAACUCCCUAUAUCGUAAGGCAUCACAGAAAUCAGACAAUUCUAUGCAACAGUUCCCAAAAGAACCUUAGCUUAUCCACUAGCAUGCUUUCCUAACNAAACUCCCUAUAUCAUAAAGCAUCACAUAAAUCAGGCAUUUCUAUCCAACAAUUAUUAAAUAAACCUUACCUUAUCCAGUAACAUGCUUUCCUAAUAGUUCACAUAUCAAAAACAUAAAAACUCAGUACAUAUAACAAGUAUGGGUAUUUUGGUAACCGCUCUCUUGUUCGUGCUCUAGUUGACUGUAUACACCACAUCUUCCUAUAAAACCAAAGUUAAGUCAAUGUCCAUGUUCCUGAUCCCAAACCAACAAUCAAAAAAUAACAUGACAAGAGGCCAAGUCCAUGUCGCUAACCCAACACUUUUAUUAUAAAUUUGUUUUCAAAGCAUUUUAUGAAAAAUCUCGUAUCCUAGUUUGAGAUUGGAUUCACACAAGUGUUCCUCCAAUUCGCUCAAACCAGGGCUCUGAUACCAACUUGUAACGUCCCAUUUUCUAUACCAUUUUUUCAUUCUAUUUAAAGUAAAAUUCCCAAUUAUAAAACCAUUUUAAGAAAACCAUCUGUUCCCAAUUAUAAUUAUUAAAAAUCAGAGUAUUAUAAUGAAUGCAAAAUCCUCAACGUUGCCGAUGAGUGUGUACAAUAUCACCUUCGCCUUCUCAUAGCCACCGAUGAUACAUGAAACAAUAAACAACUAGUUAAGCAUAAAGCUUAGUGAUUUUCCCACAAAAUACCACAUACGAUUAACAUAAAAGCAUGCAUAACGGCCCAUAACCCCCGGUUUGAAUGCCCAAUCCCAAUCAGUCCUUAGAGUGGAAUGCCAACAUGCAACGAGUCCAAUCAGCUAUCGGGCAGGAAUACCCAGGUUUUGUUGGCCUACAGCCUCAACGCAACCGUUCUUCCCGAUCCCCAGUGCCUACGACUUACAGUUGGCCCACAACGGGUAUAUUAGCCUACAACACAAAGCAGGACCGCCUCAACGCACUACUACCGUAUGUCGACAAAUAAAUAAUUAGGAUCAAGUAGGCACAUAAUAUAGGCAAACAAAAUGUCACACCCCCAAACCGGAACGGUGGAAACGUUUGGGGGUUGUUAACGUCAUGCGUGGUAUCAUAACAGUUGUAUCACAGCAAGCACAGUAAACACAACCAAACAUUGAAUACAUAUAUGAAAAGGGUUUACACUGUCUUCAUACAAAGAUUUGUUCUUAUCGAAAGUAAAAUAGAAAGACGUGACACUAACGCGCCGACUUCUCCAAAACUUCUGGAAGUACCUGUCUACUAAUUCUAUGAGAAUACAAGCAAUUUUGAAAGAAUAUCAGCAUAAAGCUGAUGAGUUCAUAAGCAUUUAGUUUUGGUGGGAAAAUGUUUCUUUGAUCUUUUUGAAAAGUGUUACUCAAGAAAAUCCUAUAUUUUCUUAUGAAAAACGUGUUUGAAAGCCCAUUCCUUCCAUGACUUCCAGAUUCAUACAAGGUAUGUACAAUCCAAGGGUCGUGGAAUGAAUAUGAAUAUUCGUUAGUUGCAUGUUAAACAAUUUGUUUAUGGAAAGCCGAGUUAUCCCGAGAAAAUCCUAUAUUUUCCCUAAAAGUUGAUGGUUGGUUAUCCGUUCUAAACUGAGGUGUACAAGUAUCUACCAUACUUAUAUCGAUAAACGUAGUUUUCAUUUAAAACCCCUGGUUACUCCCAGUGAGGUAUAUUAGCCCUAUUACGUAAAUAAAACUAAUAAAAGAGAACGUGAUGAACUAAAUCCUGAAGGUACUAUUAAUACCCACCAGUAAUCAAAUCGAUUAUAACUAUGAGGUUAGUUCACUUGAUUCAUUAUUACAAAAGUAAAUCUCUGCUAUCUAGGUUGUGAGUUUUAUAACCAUAACUGACUGGAUAUGGCCCGCAACGGACGGUAUCCUUUAUGACUUUGUCACCCGUAGACCUGUCAGUCCGACUGUAGCUAGCAGCCAGGUGCGGGGUUGUCAUUCCCGUAUAGAUCUAUACAUAACUCUCACGCUCUCCUUACAAGAGAUUAUGGUCACAAGUGCUAGUCCUACACUUUGAUUCUUGUGGUGAGUGUUACUAAGGACGUGUCUCCAACUUAGACUAAAAAAUUUACAAGUAAUAACAUAGAAAAUCCUUUUGUGAUUAACGUGAAUCAUUUAUAAAAUGAUACAUUUUGCUACAUGAUUCAUAAGUUCAUUGCUCUAGUUUUGAAAACUAUUUCUACGAGUUAAUUUGUUAAUCAUUUGGUAAAUUGUUUUCCGUGUUAAAAGCAUUCUGAAAAUAUAAUUAUCUUAAACAAAAUAAUAUACUUUGAGCACAAGUUUCCUUGUACUUUUGCUUAUACCCCCCAUGAAAACAUGAAAAACUCGGAAAAGCGUAGGGGUAUGAACUUACAUCGGGCGAUUUGAAUGAAAGAUCGAUACGGAAUGUCGGAUGUUCAAGUGAAUCCUUGAACGCGAUUUGAUCCUAAUUAACAUGUAAUGACACAUAAAGGAGUCAAAUGAAGAUAUUUCUCUACUAAAUGUGAUGGAGAACCACUCUAAGAACUUGGGACUACCUACACUAAGUGCUAGAACCUUAAAGGAUUGCAUAAGGGAGGUGUAUGGCCACCUUAAAGGUGUGUACGACCAUAAGUGUGCGGCCCAAUGGGUGUGCGGUCGUACACUUCUGAUGGAAGGUGCUUUUGAGGUGUUUUCAAGGUCCAUACUUCCAUCCAUGAAGUGUUAUAGGUCCAUACUAAGUUGUAGUACAAGUUUAGGGUCUUAGAAAUGAGUUUGUGGUCCUAGGGUGUGUGUGUUGUCGUACACGGGAGUGUGCUGCCGCACACAAGGAGUGUGAUACCGCACAAGGGUGUGUGUGAUCGUACACAGGUGUGUGUGGUCGUACACCCUACAUGAUGAUGUCCAAUAAUGCUAAUUCUAAGGUGUAGCAAAGCUAGGUUCAUGUCCAACUCGAAUAUAGAAGUCUAACUCUCACUUUGGAGGGUCUUUUAGGUGUGUGAGGCCACCUUAUGUGGGUGUGAGGCUACACUCCUUCAAAUAGAUGAUGAACAUGACGGGUCUCAAUGUUUCAAGGCUUAGAUUAAGUGGUUCUUCAAGCACAACAAGCUAAGGGAUGGAUUACUCGUGUUUUUGAAGCCUUGGGAGGGUUUGUGGUUGAAGAAGCUUGAGAGAAAUGGUGUUGUGUGCUACCAAGGUUUUAAAUGAAUGAAAGGAAAGGGUUCUACCCUUUAUAUAGGGUGGGUGUGUGGCCAUGAGGGGUGUGUACGGCCGUACACCCAUGUGUGCGGCCGUACACUCCUCCAAAAGGGGUGUAUGGCCCGAUUUCGUCACUAUAUGACUUGCUGAUUCGUUCCUAAUCUCGACAUUGGUUGUACUAAGGUUUAGAAAGCUUAAAUGAACUCUUAAUCAGUGUUAGGUGUUAAAAGAAACGAGUUUAACUUAUAUUAACCGACUAGAUGUACCAGGUAGAAGUUUCGGGUUGUCACAUCAUCCCCCCGUUAGAGAGAAUUUCAUCCCGAAAUUCAAGAAUAAAGAUGUCACUCCUGGACUUGGAAAUGUUAGGGGUACUUCUGUUUCCUUGGAUUCUCGUCCUCCCAAGUGAAAUCAGGUUCCCGCUUGGCAUUCCAGCGGACCUUCACUAUCAGGACGUGACGUUAUUUCACUCGCUUGACUUCUCAAUUCGUGUGUCCAAUGAAACGUAGACUCUUGUCUAGCUCGAUACCGUCAAGUGAAAAUCGCAAGUGUUUCAUCGGACAGACACUUCUUUGGUCCGACAUGAGGAAGACGGGAUGAACACUGCUAAGCGCUCGAGGUAACUGGAGUUUGUAUACUACGGGACCGAUCCUAGAAAGCAUCUCAGACGGUCCAACGUACUCUUGGAUUUAGCUUGCUACGAUUUUCGGAGUGUAUCAGGCUUUUCUAGGGUGAGACUUUUAAAUGGACAGGGUCACCAACUUGGAAUUCCAAGGGUUUUUGUCUCUUAUCGGCGUAGCCCUUUCGUACGACCCCUUUUCAGUCGCCUUCGUAUGAUUUCAGAACUCGUGAGGGUACUGUCGUGGACUUGAGUCUUGACUAGUUGCGUGUCGCCCACCUCAACCCAGCACAUAGGGGAUCUAUACUUACGACCAUAGAGGGCUUCGAACGACGCAACCAUGAUGUUGGAAAGGUCGUCAUUGUUGCAAGAAAGUUCCAUUAAGGGUAGAUGAUUGUCCCACGACGUAUCUACAAUCAGGACCUCACCAUAGGACAAUAUCUUAAACCCUAAGUCCAUUAAGUCCUAAAUGUGACCAAAACUCAAACAUGAGGCUAAGAACACUCAAGCUAAGACCUUUUUCUCACUAGCUCAUAAAUUCAUGACCAAAUGGGAACCAUAUCAAACUCUGGAGUUCCUCAUACUUCAAGAGCACUCAAGAAUGGGACGAAAUCAUCAAAAAAUGGGCUUAAACAUCAAACAAGAAACACAAAGGUCAAGAUAUGAACUUUAUACAUCCAAUAACUCAUAAAUGUGAAGAAGAUCUUGGAUCCAAGCUUGAUCCUUGCUUCCUUGCACCAAAAUGAACCACCUUCUUCUUCAAGUUUUACCAAAUGAUGGAAAAAACCUCAAGAUGUAGCCACCAAGCUCAUUUCCAUGGAAGAGAGGCUAGGGUUUCGAGAUGAAGGAAUGGAGGCUGAAGAAGAUGACCUAAAAUGGGGGUUAAGAUGCUUAAAGAUGGAUGAAACCCUAAUAUACUUGGGCUUGGGCCUGAACAGGCGACACACCAUGGCCAUCCAUUGCCACGCCGCGGUGACCCUCAAAAAACGCGUUCAAUAAUAUCACAUGUCGUGGGCAUCCAAGCCCCACAUCGUGGCUGAGGGUCUACUCCAAAAAUCCUAAUUUGAUUCCUCAAGUCUUGCCACACAUUCUUUGGAAAACGGGAUGUUACAUGCGAUAUAAGCUAAAUAGAGAUUAUGAACACGGUGUAGGUAUUCAGGGAGCUGGACAACCAUUCGACAACUUUAGUGGAUUUAUUUUGUUCCAUGCUAUUUCAGGUGAGUUCUUAUGAACUUACUUAUCAUUCGGACUAUGUGAUAUUGUAUGUGAGUUCUCAUGAACGUACUUAUUAUAUGGACUAUGUGAUGUUAUAUGUAACAUCUCAAAAAUCAUAAAAAAAAAAUUAAAAAACAACCCAUUUCAACCAUAAAGUGUUUACAAAACCAUUGUUUUAAAAGUAUAAACAUCAUCAGAGUUUUUCCCAAGACCCAAUAUCAUAAAAAUAGGAAGAUGUGAAUGAUCAUGCCUUUGCUUUCCCGCGAUCAUCAGAAGUACCUGAAACAAUGAACUAAAACUAUAAGCCAUAGCUUAGCGAGUUCCCCCAAAGUACCAUCACGCAACACAUAACAAAUACAUAUCAACAUGCUGGGUCUACAGCCUCCUGGUCGGAUUACCCCGACCCAUAACCUCCUGGUUGGAUUACCCUACAUAUCACGUACUGGGUCCACAACCUUGAGGUUGGAUUACACUAGCCGACAACCUCCCGGUUGGAAUAGCCUGGCCCAUAACCUCCUGGUUGGAUUGCCCCGGUCUGUUAAUUGACAACACAAAACAGUAGUUUCAACCACAACAUAACAUGUCGACAUAUAACAAAUAACAAACAUAUUGAGCAGGCAAAUAACCAUACAACCAGUGUUCAUAACAGUCCUACAAAUCUACCAAUAAAAUGCCUAUCAGCAGCUAUCACAUAAUCAUAUAGGUUUAUCGCAUACUCCACAUAUAAUCAAUCAAUAUAUAACAGGAUAUCAAUAAAAUGGGUCAGCCUUGAUCCCUUCAACCCGCAAGUACAGUGAGGAAAACUUAUCUCACAGUCUGAAAAAGAUCAUUGAACAGGACACAACUCUGAAUAUCAGCUCAAACAGUAACAUAUUCAUCAGAUAAUGACCAUUGUCAAUAACCACUCAAAAUACCCCAAAAUACCCUUUGGUCAACUUGGUCAACAUUGGUCAAAGUCAAAAAGUUAAAUUAGGUUAAUACAACUUGAAACACUCUAAAUUUUCAGAGCAAAUUUUCAUUUAAAAAAUUUCACACAAAACAUAGUUUAACAUUUCUCAUGCCAAAUUUGAAAUUUUCCCAAACACAAAACAUCAUAAAUUGUUUGUCAAAUAUCCCAGAAUCCACAUAAACACAAAUCAUCAAGCUGGUGUGUACAAUCAUGUCGGCGCCUUCCCGCUAUCCUCAGAUGUACCUGAAACACAUUUUACACAAACACGGUAAGCACUAAGCUUAGUGGGUUCCCCAAAAUACCACAUACACAAAUAAUUAACUUCUUAGGGCUAUGUCUCGAUAAGGACCCUCCGGUUAUAAGUCUCGGUGAGGACCCUUUGGUCUCACGUCUUGGUAUGGACCCUCCGAUCAUAUGUCUCAAUGAAGACCCUCCAGUCUCACGACUCGGUAUGGACCCUCCGGUCAUAACUCAAAAUAUGCACAUGAUAAUGUAACAACACAAAUCACAAAGACAUAAUUCACAAUAACACAUAUCUCAGUAUAAGCAAAUAGGACCCUUUGGUUAAUAACACGAAUAAGACCCUUCGGUUACACAUAGAUUACCACACAGGUAAGUAUAGUGAGAAGACUUGCUUCGCAAGUAAAGCAAGUAAAUCCUUCACCCAAACUGUUGGUCUAGUCUCUGCCUAACAUAUGUCACAUAUACCUCUAAUUAAUAAUUGACAUGAACAACCCUUAAAAUGUUAGACCAAGUUCCUCUACUAAACCUCGGGAAGGUAAAAGACCAUUUUGCCCCUCAAAAGUCCACAUCUUGACCAAAACCCCAAAAGUAAAAGAAAGUCAACGCUCAGCGCGUACACUUGGCGUACAUCCGUCUAAGUUGGGCGUACAACUAUUUUGGAUAUUCAGAUUUUUGGAUUGAUUUUAAGUUAAACCGAAUUAUUUUUAGAUUUCGGAUUGGUUUUGGUUUAUAAAAUAAUAACCGAAUAGUCCAUAAAAACUGAAUAACAACUUAUUAUUUAUUUUUAAUAUCUAUAUUUAAUCAUUUAAAAAUUUAUAAAAUUAUACUUUUAAUUAUUAUAAAUUUUCAACCAGUAUAGUACCUUACUAUGUCAUUCUUAUCAAAAGUUUUUUAUCAACGAAAUGUCUUAAUAGUUGUUUAUAAAUUAUAUUUCAUAACUAAAAAGUUUUAUUUAGUUACUUUUAAAGAGUUGACUAAUACUUAAUUUAUUCAUUAUUAAAAUGUAUUGCCUUUUAAAAACCGCAUUGUAAAAACCGAUCUAACCGAACUAUUAUUUGGUUGGAUCGGAUGAGAUUUGAAUUUAGUUUGAACUAUUCGGAUCCGUGUUUUCAAAACUGAAAUCCAUUUAGAUUUAGGGGAUGUUUGGAUAGGGAAAAAAUAGGCCGUUUAUUAGUUAUUGCUUAAUCCCACCGCAAUAAGCAAAUUUAAUUGUUUGGAUAGGAGUCUAUAAAAAUCAGCUUAUUGCGGUAGGAAUAAGCAAACUAAGCUGAUUUUAAUAAGCAAGAAGGUGAAUGCUUAUUGCUUAUUGCUUGUUUUACUCAAAGCUGUUUUGUUUGCCAAACACUUAAAAUGUUUAUUGCUUAUUGCUUAUUCCCACCGCAAUAAGUAAAUAAACAAUAAGCUAAUAACUAAUUAUCCUAGCACCCCCUUACUUGAUCGUAUCGGAUCAAACCGAUCCAUCCAAACGAACACUCCUAGAUAUAAUAAUUUUCUCCAUAAAACUAUAUAUAUAUAUANNNNNNNNNNNNNNNAUAUUAUGGAGGGAAAAUGACUUCUAAGGGUAACGAAGUAUUAGACUUGUACAAAAAAUACCAUUGAACUUUUUCUCUGUACACAUAUCACCAAUCAACUAUAGCUUCUGUACACAUAUGACUAUUAAACUUCACAUUUGUUCAAAAAAUACCAUUAUGUUACCGGUAAUAGUAGGUUACCAGCCAUGUAACAUGCCGUGUGGCUGCUGACGUAGGUUUUAUUAUAUAUUAUGUACACAUUAUACCAUUAAACUAUUUUUUGUACACAUUAUACCAUUAAACUUUUUUUUGUGUACAUUUUACCGUUAAACUUUUUGUACACAUUUUACCAUUAAUCUUAUAUAAUUUAUUCAAAAAAUAUCAAUUCAAAAAAUACAUAUUUUUACAUAAAAUGGGUUUUCCAUCACCUAUUGUGACUCCCUGAUUUUGUAAGGUUCGGGGGAAACCGUUUGUUUUUUACAAUGAUACUAAGGACUUUUUUUUACAAUUACAUUGUAAUUUAUGUUGGUCAUACAUCAAUUGAAACCCACAAGGUUUGAACUUGUGACUUUUAUCUGGAGCGGCAAAGAAAUACUCAAUUGUUCAUUAUUUUAGCUAAUGUCUAAUAAACAUAUUCUUAUAAGUCAUUUUCUUAGGAAACUACGUUUGAGGCAUACUUAUAAACUCAUGAAACAUUUUGUACAUGUUCCCUUACUAUAAUCUCCCAUCUUCUUGAUUAAGGUUGAUGAUUAAAAAAGUGCAUUAAAAUUAUGUGGUUGUUUACCGAUAGGAAAAUGACUUAUAAUGAUAAGUUACUAAAAUUUAGAAAAUCAGUAAAAUCCACAUCAGGUGAUGGGAAACCUACUUUUAUGUAAUAAUAUGUAUUUUUUGAAAUGAUAUUUUUUUCAAUAAAUUAUAUAACAUUAAUGGUAAAAUGUGUACAAAAAAAAGUUUAAUGGUAUAAUGUGUACAAAAAAAAGUUUAAUGGUAUAAUGUGUACAUAAUAAACAGUAAAAUCCACGUCAGCAGCCACAUGACAUGCCACGUAGCAUGCUACGUGGCUAAUGACCUAUUAUUACCUGUAAUAUAAUGGUAUUUUUUGAACAAAUGUGAAGUUUAAUGGUCAUAUAUGUACAAAAGUUAUAGUUGAUUGGUGAUCUGUGUACCAAAAAAAAUUCAAUGGUAUUUUUUGUAUAAAUCUCAUACUUUGUUAACCUUACAAGUCAUACAUUUUUCCCAUAUUAUGGAUGGUGUGCAGUGAGGCCACCACAGCAUGACCACCGAGAGCCUUGGGUGUUUGUUCAAAACAAAUUUCAUUUUGCUUUCUGCUAAAUUGAGGAAGGAGCUAGUUUUUUUGUUUCAUUUUGAUCCAUUAUUUUUCUUCGGUUUCUAGUACACUUAGAAAAAGGUAAACAAUAUUGGUUACUUUGGUUUCAAAAAAAGGGCUUUGAUGUGUUUAUCACUUUAUUUGAUAAUUUCUAGCAUCUUUUCGAAUAUAAUUUUCAUGUACUCAAAACCAAAAUUAAUGGCUAACGCUUCCGGAAAUCACAAGAAGUUAAUUUUCCACAGCAAUCUUGCAAACCUUGAAAACGAAUUACCAUAUCGAAUUUGUGCACAGAUGAGCAAAUCACUCAGUAAGUUCACAACAUUGUCUGAGUUUUCAAAUAAAAGCUAUAACCUGGAUUACAACUUCAAUGCAACUACAUGAAUUACAACACUCUUGUCAAAUAGUUCAACAGUUUUACCGAUGCACGUGUAAAAGCUCUGCUAAAUCGAAAUGUAAACAAACUGAAGAUUAAUUGUGGCUUAGCCCUAAAUCAAAUACAGAUUCCAGUCACUGAAUUAGAGGUAUCAAAGACAAAUGUCAUGUAUUGCAUAAGCAUAUAAUCAUACAGAAAAAAUGAAUUGGAAUAUUGGAUAAGUGAUAUUGUAUUAAUAGCUUCAAUUACAAGUAAUACCACUUCGGAUUACAGAUAAGCCAACAAAGCAACAAGAACCCUAGAAAGUAGAAACCGUAAAAUUCUCUUAACCACCAAAUCCGUAGAGAGUACGGCCUUGGCGCUUCAAAGCGUAAACAACAUCCAUGGCGGUGACAGUUUUCCGGCGAGCGUGUUCGGUGUAUGUGACGGCGUCACGGAUGACGUUCUCAAGAAAGAUCUUCAAAACACCACGGGUCUCCUCGUAUAUUAACCCACUGAUACGCUUGACACCUCCUCGUCUGGCUAGACGGCGGAUCGCCGGCUUGGUGAUACCUUGGAUGUUGUCCCGGAGAACCUUACGAUGACGUUUGGCUCCACCCUUUCCCAAUCCCUUGCCUCCUUUUCCUCUUCCUGACAUGUUUUCUCUCUACUUUUCUCUCGUUAGAAAUGAAUUUGAUUUUUGUUUGUGUUUGCGCUUAAAAUGGAUUUGAGGAUUUAUAGAAUAUUGGGGUUUGAGUUUGAAAGGAAGUAUGUAUUCGUCCGUUGGAUUAGAUUAAAUAGGAAGCAUAGAUAGCCGCAGGAUUAUAAUCUGUGUGAUGAUAAAUAAGACGCUUUGAUUGGUUAGCUUUAACAGUGUUGGAUCCAGGUUAGGGUAGUCCAGGUCAUAUGUGGAAUAGUAAAUUAAUUUAUAUGUUUAAUUUACAAAGAACAAUGAAUCAAUAUAUAGUCAUUUUUUUAAUUAUAUUUUUUAAAUAGUUAAAGAAUUUAAAAUUUUGUGUGUAUAUAUAUAUAUAUAUAUAUANNNNNNNNNNNNNNNNNNNNNNNNNNNNNNNNNNNNNNNNNNNNNNNNNNNNNNNNNNNNNNNNNNNNNNNNNNNNNNNNNNNNNNNNNNNNNNNNNNNNNNNNNNNNNNNNNNNNNNNNNNNNNNNNNNNNNNNNNNNNNNNNNNNNNNNNNNNNNNNNNNNNNNNNNNNNNNNNNNNNNNNNNNNNNNNNNNNNNNNNNNNNNNNNNNNNNNNNNNNNNNNNNNNNNNNNNNNNNNNNNNNNNNNNNNNNNNNNNNNNNNNNNNNNNNNNNNNNNNNNNNNNNNNNNNNNNNNNNNNNNNNNNNNNNNNNNNNNNNNNNNNNNNNNNNNNNNNNNNNNNNNNNNNNNNNNNNNNNNNNNNNNNNNNNNNNNNNNNNNNNNNNNNNNNNNNNNNNNNNNNNNNNNNNNNNNNNNNNNNNNNNNNNNNNNNNNNNNNNNNNNNNNNNNNNNNNNNNNNNNNNNNNNNNNNNNNNNNNNNNNNNNNNNNNNNNNNNNNNNNNNNNNNNNNNNNNNNNNNNNNNNNNNNNNNNNNNNNNNNNNNNNNNNNNNNNNNNNNNNNNNNNNNNNNNNNNNNNNNNNNNNNNNNNNNNNNNNNNNNNNNNNNNNNNNNNNNNNNNNNNNNNNNNNNNNNNNNNNNNNNNNNNNNNNNNNNNNNNNNNNNNNNNNNNNNNNNNNNNNNNNNNNNNNNNNNNNNNNNNNNNNNNNNNNNNNNNNNNNNNNNNNNNNNNNNNNNNNNNNNNNNNNNNNNNNNNNNNNNNNNNNNNNNNNNNNNNNNNNNNNNNNNUAUAUAUAUAUAUAUAUAAUUAACAUUAAAAAAAUGCAAAUACAAUAUUUAAUUAAAUUUUUUUCGUUUAUAAAUAUGAUUUUUCUGCUUGAAUACGUAUAAUAUGAAAAAAAAAUGGGGUAAAAGUGUUAAAAAAACUAUAAACUUAAGGGUAAAAACGUAUAAAAAAUUGUAAACUUAAGGGUUUUUUUUUGCAAAGUUAAUAUAAUGGUAACCUGUUAUCACCGGUAAAAAGGUAAAACCGUACAUUUUUUGGAAAAUGUUAUGGUAAAAACGGACAUAAAAUUUAACUUUGGGCAAAACCAAAAAAACCCUGAAAACUUGAGGGUUUUUAUGACAUUAACCCAAAAAACAUAAAUAAAUAUUGUAUUUUAAACAAGUUUCACGGUAAAAUCAAAGUUUAUUUUACAACAACAUAUGAGUCCUAAGUCAAAGUUCAUUUCAUGAAGGUUCACAAUAAAUUAAGAUAUUUCACAAUGGAUUUUACGAUAUGUCAUAUAGUUUAGGAUGGGGGAGUCGUGGUGCACUUCUUGAGAUCUAGUUCCAUUUGUCAUUGUUUUUUGUGUAAGGGCAUUAGGGCGCAGAGAUGGAGAGAGUGACAUUUUAGGAGGAGAGAUAGAGUAGAGAGACUGGGUAACGGGGUGCAAAACUUAUUUGAUAUUUUGUCAUGCCACACACACGGAGCAAUAUUUGUCAAGAUCCACUCCCAACCUUGUAGUAAAAUACAUAAAUUGUCCGUGUGAUUUGGUUUAAACAUAUUGGUUUUGUCCUUAUAAAUAAAUUUUCAUUCGGACGAUCCGUGUGGUUUGGUUUUGUUUCAAUUUUGAUCCAUAAAACAUGAAAUUACUAAGUUUCCUUUUAUUGAUUCCUUUGAAAUUUUAUUUUAUUUUUCUGUUUAUUAGAAUAAAUGUUAAUAUAAUAUUUUGAAAAGUCACACCCUUGCCCUUUUGUAACAUCUCAAUGUUUAGGUACUUCUAAGUUCAUCCAUAUAAUUAUAUUUCAUGUCAAAUUGGUCCCUAAGUCCAAGAAUUAUGUUUUGAAGCCCUAGUGACAAUUUUGUAAAUUGGGCAGGAGGACUACGCCAAGCGUAGACGGCAAGACGCGCCCUAGUACGUUGAGCGUACACUUAUGUACGCGGGGCGUACUAAUUUCAGGAGGAAACCCUAAUUUUUAGGGUUUGGGUGGUAUUUAAGCAACAUUAUGGCUCAUUUCUCCCCACCUUUUCAACCCCUACAUCCUUUGAAACGUAUUUGCAAGCCAUAUCCCCCUUAGUGUGUUUUAAGGUUGAGAGUGAAAUCAGGUUAAGCUUUUGGAGUCAUUAGUGUCGGGAUUUCAGGAAGCGUUCAUCUAGUCUCUAGUGGUUGUGCGACCUUUGGAGUGGACUGGUGACUGAUAGCUAGCAAGAUUAGGCAUUGGUAGUUAGCGUGUCUAUCAUGUUAGGGAGGAAGGAAUGGAAAUCCUCCAAUUUUCGCGUGCCGUGAAGACUUAGUCGAAGCAAAGUGGGGGAGAAACGAUCAUGUACUCAGAAGCAGAAGCAGUUUUGAAAAUGGGAUAAGUUCCGCAAUCUUGUUAGGGAGAAAGACGCCCCAAGCGGCCGUAUGAAUUGAGGAUAAUGUGAAUUUGAAGUUCGAAAAACUUGCCAAUAGUGAGAUCACAUUCUCGGAUGUCUGAUAGCAGGUUUCAGAAAAAUUAGGUUGGGAAUUUUAGUCAGGACAUGAAUACAACUUGGGGUACUAGAUCGUGCCUGUAUACACGAUUAUGGGGGGUGUUUAAAUUAGUAGUUAGUGAAAGACCGUGGUCACGUGGAAAGUGUUGUAAGACUGUGGCCUGUAGGAUAGUCGUAGCAUUCACUAGUAGCCAGUCGGCGAGGGAGGUGUUGUAAGACUGCGGGUUAGCCGUAGCAUUAAUCAGUGGCCAAAUAGCAUGAGAAGUGUGGCAAUACUGCGGGGUGUCCCAAGUGUAACAUCCUGAAAUUCAGGUACAACUAUUUAACCCUUCUCUUUUGCCAAGUUGUCAAGAUUAGCCCUUGAGUGGAAAGUGUAGCAAAUGAGUACGUUGGGCGUACUGGGGAGUACGUUGCGCGUACUCAUGCGCUUCAUUUAGACGCGAACUCGCCUAGGUACGCUGGGUGUAGCGGGUCCAGAUGCAAAACCUAAUUUUUGGCUUGUGUACUAUAUAAGGAAUGUUAAGGCUUUAUCCUCAACCACCAUAUCAGAUAGUGAAACCCUAAGAGAGCAUUUCAUUCGUCCUAAAGCUUGUGUGUGAGUGUUUUGAGCUAAAAGUGCUUUUGUGUGUUAGUGAAGAAGAAGGAGAGGAGCUUGUGGAGGCUUGGGUUUGAAGUGCAAGUUUGGAUCUGAGUUCUUCAGAGGGAGGAGCUUCAAUUAGAGGUAAAAAGCCCAGAACUUUCCUCUUUAUUUUGGUUUGGUGUUGCAUGGACCAUUUCUAGGGUUAAAGUCCCAAAGGUGGAGACUUUAUGAGCAUAAGGGACUCCAUGGACCUAGACUUGUCCCAUUUCAGUGAUAUAUGUGUUGUAGACCCAUAAAAAUCCCAACUUGGUCGUUGUUAUGGAGUCAUGCUUGAGUUAUGAGCUUUUUAGUGUUGGAACUGGAAUGUUAUGGGUGUUGGUGACCUUUACAGCCAUGCAAAGGCUUAAAGUCACCAACUUUAUUGAUGAAGAGGUUUAGGGGUGGUCAUAUUUGAAAGUUGGACGUGGGUCUUAACCGUUUAAGACCCCAAAAGCUAAGGAGUCUGAAGCUCGGAGUUACGCAGGGCAUAAUCCCAGUACGCGCAGCGUAGGAGGUCGGGUUCCCUGUUUCUGUGAGGUUGUCGGGUAUGCCCAUCAUACAGGUGUGGUACGCGCAGCUUAACCCAGAGAGUUGACUUUUGGUUGACUUUUAGGGUUUGGUCAAUAUUAGGGUCUUUGAGCCAUGAGAGGGGUAAAUGGUCUUUUACCCUUCUUAGAGUGAUAAGAGAGGGAUUAGUCUAUCCUUGAGAGUUGUAUUGAUUAGAGUGCUUAUUCCAUGUGAUUAGGCGGAGGCUAGACCAGAUUCUUACCGAGUUACCCGAGGUGAGUCUUCUCACUAUACUUUAUCUAGAGUGGUAAUUAGAGUUAUAUGACAGAGUAUAUUGUAUGUUAUUUAUGUGAUUGUGAUGCACUGCAUUAUUUCUAUGUGAUUCAUGUCGUGUAUGUUUCAGAGUUUACAAAGUUAGAACUGGAAGGUUCACAGAGUUAAAACCGGAAGGUUCACAGCGUUAGGACCAGAGGGUCCACAGAGUCAGGACCGGAGGGUCCACGGAGUUAUAGCCUCGAGUGGCUAUUAUGUGUUAUAUGUGGUAUUUUGGGGAACUCACUAAGCAUUUAUGCUUAUAGGGUGGCGUUAUGUGUUUCAGGUACCAGUGAGGAUCGCGGGAAGGCGCCGACAUGAUCAGUACACACAUGAGGAGUUUUUAUACAUUAUGAUCUUGGGUUGUGUUUCCAUGGAUUGAUAUAUGUGAUACAAUGACAUUUUUAUAAUAUUUAUUAAGACAAAAUUACAUAAAUGGUCCUCAUGGUUGACAAAAUCGACCAAUUAUGGUCCUUAUGACGAAUUCUUUACACAGAUGGUCCCUGUGGUUUCAAAAUCUUGCAAAGAUGGUCCUUUUGACUAACGACGUUAAAUUUUUCAGUUAAGUCCUAUGUGAAAUGACAUAUUUACCCUUCAUGCAUAAGGACGCUUUAUGUAAUAUGUUUAUACCACACGGACCAUUUAUGUAAUUCUCUCUAUUAUUAAUUAUUUUUUUUAUUUAUUUUAAUUAUAUAUUUAAGUAUUUAGAUUUGUUUAAAUUUAUUUUUUAAUAUAUAUAUAUAUAUAUACACACACACACACACAUGCAUGCUAACAUUUUUUAACGUUUUGCGCAAAUUAUUUUUUCUAAUCUUUUUGAUAUUUUCUUCAAGUAAAUUUUUUAAUGUUUUUUAUUUUGACGUUUUAUUCGAAUAUUAUUUUUUUUGUUUGACGUUAUGUUCAAAUACAUUUUUUAACAUGUAGUAUGUUUAUAUUUGUUAAAGGAUUUCACGGCUAUUGUAAUUAUAAUUCGUAACUUAAUUCACUUUCAAUUAUGUUUUCAUUUUUUUUUCAUUUAUCAGGUUAUAUAAUUAUUAUUUUUUAAUUCAAAUAUUUAACUAUAUAAGGUUGUAUAAUUAUUAUUUUUGUAAACUAAUUUAUUAACAUUUUUUAUAAAAAAGUGUAAAAUGUUUGUUAAACGUGAAUAUGAUUAAUAUAGAUUAGGUAGACAUAGGCUACGCUGAGACCGCCUCACAACGUUGCCGAGAACGACCGGGUCAUUUCACAUUGGAUUUAAAUGUAAUUAUUUCGAGUUAUUAUUUUUUUGUUUUUAGCAGUGUUGUAAAAAAUCACAACUAGGUCCCGAUUAAUCUCAGAUUAAUCCCUAAGCGCUACCUGACCGAUUAGAGGCCCUUGCGUUGUGAUUUUUUAUAACACUGCUAAAAACAAAAAAAAUAAUAACUCGAAAUAAAUUCAAUGUGAAAUGACCUGGUCGUUCUCGGCAACGUUGUGAGGCGGUCUCAGCUCAGCUUAUGUCUACNUUGGUCGUUCUCGGCAACAUUGUGAGGCGGUCUCAGCUUAGCUUAUGUCUACCUAAUCUAUAUUAAUCAUAUUCACAUUUAACAAACAUUUUACACUUUUUUAUAAAAAAAUGUUAAUAAAUUAGUUAAUAAAAAUAAUAAUUAUACAACCUUCUAUAGUUGAAAAAUGUAUUCAUAACGUCAAAAGAAUAAAUAAAUAAAUAAAUAAUAUUCGAAUAAAAAGUCAAAAUAAAAAACAUUAAUAAAUUUACUUGAAGAAAAUGUCAAAAAGAUUAGAAAAAAUAAUUUGAGCAAAACGUUAAAAAAUGUUAACAUGUAUAUAUAUUAAACAAUAAAUUUAAACAAAUCUAAAUCCUUAAAUAUAUAAUUAAAAUAAAUAAAAAAUAAUAAAUAAUAGAGAAAAUUACAUAAAUGGUCCCUGUGGUAGAAACAUAUUACAUAAAGCGUCCUUAUGCAUGAAGGGAAAAUAUGUCAUUUCACAUAGGACUUAACUGAAAAAGUUAACGCCGUUAGUCAAAAGGACCGUCUUUGCAAGAUUUUGAAACCACAGGGACCAUCUGUGUAAAGAAUUCGUCAUAAGGACCAUAAUUGGUCGAUUUUGUCAACCAUGAGGACCAUUUAUGUAAUUUUGUCAUUUAUUAAUGAAAGUGUGAUUUUAAAAUGUGAAAAAUUGUUUGAAAUUUUUGGUGUUACAAGUUGGUAUCGGAGUCUUGGUUUGAGGGAUUCAUGUGCACCUUCGGGCGUAUUUGAACUCAAACUGAGGAUUUGAGAGAUUUUUCAAAAUAAAAUAACAAAAUUUUCUCAACAAGUAAAAAGUUUUUGAAAAGAGCAGAGCAGAGUAGUGUGUACGAUCAGCCAACGCCCAAACGGUGAUUUCCCAAAAUACAUUUAUAUUAUGUAUUAUGAGAUAUGAGAUAAUAUGUUAUGCAUGCUAGAGUAGGCUAGGUAUUCUUAUUAGGGAUAGAGUUGUCUGAUUUGUGAUGCCUUAGCCUAGGGGUUUUGCUACUAGGAGAUGCUUGAGAGUGAGUAGAUAGCAGCGAUGAGCUUAUGAGAGAUCUGCUAGAGAGUAGACUAUGCAUAGAGAGAGUAGAGUACUUGGGACUUGGGAUCCUAGGAGGAGGACUUGGGGUGAAUAUUGAUUCGGUGUGGACGGUAGUAUUGGUCCCGUACUACCAAAGGCACCAGAUCAGUGCACAGCCCAAGUAAGAAUCCUUAGGGUACCAGGGAUCGAGUAGGAAUGGGAUAUCGAGUGUGAGUACACUCGAGCGAGUCUCUGAUAUUUUGUGUUGUAUUUCAGAGAGACAUCAUGGUUGGGACGCGCCACACACCUGAGAGCAGUGGUGUUAGCGAUGAGGAGAUCCGCAGGUUGAUUCACGAGGAAGUUGUUGCUGCCAUCCGAGCCGAGAUACCAGAGAUGUUUGGGUCUAUCAAGACCACCCUUAUCGAGACUUUUGACGAGCGUUACGCUACUCUUACUGAUGUUGUUGUUGCUGCGGCCACCGCAGUCGUUGCUGCUGCAAGGCCACAAAGGGGGUGACUUGUUGCUGUACCGAGAGUUCAGCAACACGAAGCCACCAGAGUUUGAUGGGACACAGGAUCCGAUCCCUGCGAUGAGAUGGAUUUCUGAUAUUGAGGGUUGCUUCUAUACGUGUUCUUGUCCAGAGCAUCUGAGAGUUCGGUUCGUACUGAACCAGCUUCGCUUGGGGGCGAAGGAUUGGUGGAAGUUUAUGACAGCGCGCUAUUCUUCUGCAGAGCUUUCCGUGGUGACCUGGGAGAGGUUCACCGCUAUGCUUCGUGAUGAGUACGUUCCCCCGAUGGAAAGGGAACGUUUGGCCCAGGAGCUCUUGACCCUCAAGCAAGGUACCAAGUCUGUUACAGUGAUCACCAGGAUGUUCCAUGAGGGGCGAUGUUCUGCCCUGAGCACGUGUCUUCCGAGCAGGCACGCAUGAGUCGAUAUUUGAGCAUCUUAAAGAGAGACAUCCACGAGUUCGUGGCAGACUCGUCGUAACGGACAUUUGCCGAGCUUCGGGCAAAUGCCCGGAAGAGGGAGAUUGAGCUCGAGACCCAGGCCAGGGAGGAGGCUGAUGGGUUUUGGUCCUAAGAACAUCCUAUGUGCUCAUACAAACCCUAACGCUUGGAUCUAGGUUUCUCUAUUGUACAUGCAAGUUAUCCAAGACUAUAAACCCUAAUUCUAGCAUAUAAGUAAUCAUAUUAACAUGAGAAUAGAUUUUUAAUAUUACCUUGAUUGUUAUGUAGCAAUAACAAUCAAAUUCCUCCUUGUAUUGACUUUAGAAAGCAUAGAGUCACAAUUGUCACUUCUCUAAUGGUUCACAAACACCAUAAGCAAGAGGAUGAAGAGGAGAGAGGAUGGAGGGUGCCCAAAAACGUCUACAAACCCUAGAAUAAGUCAUAGCCACGUUUUUGGUCAUAAGGGAUCUCUUUAUAUAGGAGGCAAUUAGGGUUAUCUAACAAGGAAACCCUAAUUUGGAUGCUUAAGCCCUAAAGAUCGGAAGAAGCCCUUUCCUUAAGGCCUUGGACGAUUUCAUAUGGGCUUCCCCCAUAGAAUUCGUCCACCUUAUAAUAAAAGGCAAUCCAUGGCCCAAAUUGCAAUUAUCUUAUAAUUACAAUUCCAGUCCCUUAAGUUUAAUUAAUCUCUUUUAGUCACAAAACUAAUUACUAAUUAAUUAUUGACUAAUAUUAAUUAAACAAUAUGAUUUCUCCUUUAAUAUAUUAUUCUCAUAAUAUAUUAAUAAAUCAUAUUUAAUCCUUUCUCUCCAUAAUUCAUCCUAUCAAGUUGCUUUGGUGAAGGCAACCCAAAAGGACCAUGCACCAUCGGGUCAAGUACAUACCAAAAUAGUUAUGGACUUAGACACUAAUCCAACAGUCUCCCACUUGGAUAAGUCUAAUAACUAUUAUGCGUAUGACUUCAGAUCCUGAUCUGCAAUCGUAGCUUUCCAAAGCCGCUGUCAACUCUGAUCCUAUCAGAUACGCGUGUCCUUAGAUAAGGGAUCAUAUAUUCCUCCAUUCUAGAUAUCAUAUGAGAUAUGAUUUCAAAUCAUUCUCUUUGUACUAUAUCUCGAUUCCCGAUUUAUGACGACUGACUAAUUGAACAAAUCAAAUUAGCCCUAGCCCGGCCGAGCAUUUACGUUUGUCAUCACUAAAUCAUCGAGGGGCCCAAAGAUAUCGCUUUUAUCCUACUUUGGAUAAAAGGAACGGAUAAACUUUGAUACAAUGCUUGCUUGUACUCACGCACCGGAUCACACACAACAAUAUGUUUUAUAACACCAAGUUACUAGUGCGUUUACAUAUUAUCAAUGUGCAACCGAUUUGCAAGAUACAACUCACACAUCUCGGUUUCAAGAAUAUAAGAUGUUAUCGUCUCACCAAUCACUCGUGAUACAAUUCAUGGAGUGAUCCAAGUGAGCGUGGGUUUAAUCCAAUGCUCAAAUCAUAUUCAUAAGCACUCAUGAACGUUGCAGCAAACAUUUGCUUAUGUCUAAUACUCUUUCAGACAAUCCACACACCAAUUCACGACAGUCUUCAUUCAUAUAUACUUCCAACAUAUGAACGACUGUGGCCCGUUCGAAUAAUUCGAUUAUUCUUAAUAAAUUCAAUUAUUCUGGAAGCUAAAACAUGCAAAUGUGAAACACAAGAAUAAUACUAAUCCCAUAUGGCCUCAAACCUUUGAGUACAAAUAAAACUUCUUUUAUUUAUCACCAUAUCGAUUACUCAUUAUUUGUCGUUUCAGGUAAUCAACUUCUUACUUGAAUUAUUACACUUGUCCCAUGCUCUUAGCAUGCACACAAUGUUUACCUAUGGUUCUUACUUUUGUAAAAUAGAUCAAAUUGAACACAUUUCCAAUCAUUCUCAUUUCAGAACUCCAAAUCCUUUUUCAUAAGCGUGAGAAUAUCAAAUUAUUGUUACUUAUAAGAUAUGCUAGAUUCUAUGUAACAUCCCCCUCUGACACGUAUCACAAUAUUGUCUGCUUUGGCCCAUUCAGCACGACGACUUCCCAGGGGGUCACCCAUCCUGGUACUACUCCCGCCCGAGCACGCUUAACUGCAGAGUUCUUAUGGGACCUGCUGCCCUCACGACUUUAAAACGCGUUGUGAUAGGGAANNNNNNNNNNNNNNNNNNNNNNNNNNNNNNNNNNNNNNNNNNNNNNNNNNNNNNNNNNNNNNNNNNNNNNNNNNNNNNNNNNNNNNNNNNNNNNNNNNNNNNNNNNNNNNNNNNNNNNNNNNNNNNNNNNNNNNNNNNNNNNNNNNNNNNNNNNNNNNNNNNNNNNNNNNNNNNNNNNNNNNNNNNNNNNNNNNNNNNNNNNNNNNNNNNNNNNNNNNNNNNNNNNNNNNNNNNNNNNAAUAUGCUAGAUUCUAACAUUCUAUGCAACGAUCCUUUCGUAAUGUCACUGCACCAAAGUCACAAAGACUAUUGCCAAUGAUAUUACAAAGUCCUCUAUCGGAGAUUGUUACAAGACAAUUCCAUAGAUGUGAUGUCUCUCACUCAAAGUACUUUCUUUGAACAUCCUUUUGCAUAGAAGUUUCUAAUCUAGUCAUAGAUUUCUCAAUAUUCAAUUCCCAAUAUGGACACACUUCCAUAUUUUCCAUAUGACAACUCAUUCUUAAUAGAAUCUUAUCUAUUCGUAAUGAUGUCGAUAUGGUCCAUCUUGUAUGGAAACAGUUCCAUAAUUUCCAUAUGACAACUCAUUCUUAAUAGAAUCUUUUCUAUUCAUAAUAAUGUCGAUAUGGUCCAUCCAAUACCAUGCUUCCAACUACUCACAAGCGACCAAUCCUCGUCGAACUUUGGAUUGUCCUUUGAUAGUUGUUUAAUUAUUUUAGUCAAAACCAAUUCUAGUCCCUUUUCCCUCUAAAUGCGCUCGACAUUUGGAAAAUUUUAGAAUGGUCAAACAUUAAAGCAUUUGCAAUCGAUCCUAUACCCGAAGCGUAUGGGACACGACGCAUAAUGUUUUAUUUGCUAUGUUCUCAAAAUUCGAAUUGUGAAGAGGAAUGCCGUAAUCAUAAUCGAAAUUUUAAGAACACACUAUGUACCUUUGACUAAAUUUAUUAACAUUUCUCAACCUAAGCCUUUAGAUUUGAAAUGAAGCAUAAUAUUCUCUCCCUUAAUUAUAGCAAAACAACUUUACAACCCUUACGACUUUGCAAGGUAUAACUCUUGUUUUCUAUAAUUAAUAUUGCCAACUUGCAAUACUUUCCUUAAUAAUCAUACAAUCAUAACAUUUAUGCUCCCACUAUCAUGAUGAUUAUUAUAAAACAUAACACUUAUGCUCCCACUAGCUUCGACAUGUAUUCAUAAACAUCUUAACUUUCAGAAAAACAAUACUUAUUGAAUUUCUUAAGUUCAUGUUUCUAAUACUUAGUGCUUUGAUAAUCUUUUAUCAAGGCUUCUUGAACUUAUACACCUUUGCCUUCGAUAGUUCAUAUGUGUGUCUAAACAAUUAAGACUAAUUGCCAAACCUCACAAUUCAAAUUAUGGAAAGGGAUACCGUAACCAUAAUCGAAUUCGAGAAUGCAAUUUUACAAUCACUAUCUUCUUAAAAUCUUUCUUAGUGAAAGCAUUUCCUCACAGUCAUUUUCAUGAAGGAGGGAAUCUUAUGACACUUAGAUUUUAAUGGUGUAUGUGUUCCUAUCCAUGUGAAUUUGUCAAAACCAAAGUUUACAACAAAUUCAAACUCAUAUGGACCGAACUUUCUUAAUCUUGAUUUCUUGCCUUAUGGUAGCACAGCUGCCCACCAUGUCUUCCAAGUAGUUAAGCAGCUCACCCUUUCCUAUCAAUGUACCUUUCAUUGAUUAAGGUGCUUUGCCUUUUAUGCGUUCAAAAUGAGAACUCAUAGAACUCACAUGCAUAAUUAACUCGAUUGGAUUGGCACAGAAACAAAAUAAUGUCAACACGAUAGGUUGUAAACCUCAACUCGUGUGCUAGUGAUGAUCGAUAAGGUUUAUUUGAUUUGUUCUUGAAACCUUUCAAGACCAUUAAGACUCCCACUGACUCCUUGACAUAUAAGAUUCUCUUGUCAAUAAACAUUUCUUGACAAACAAAUAUUCAAGAGUUAGUGUAGCUUUUAUCAAAACACUUCAUAAAUUGGUCCUAGUUGGUCUUUGUCUUAUCCAAGACAUCACAACUUUCCACAUUUGAUGAAUGUUAUAAACCUUCUUAAUACUUUUCACUCAAUGUCACAAUCUUAACUCUAAGACUUGUUUUGGAACGAAGUAUGAUUGACUUCUUGAUUUAACCAUUUCUUCAAUUCUUGAUUCCUCUUCUUAGACAUACAAUUGUACUAAGACUCACUUAGAGGAUCAAUUGAGAUAUGGUUCUUAAUCAUUAAGACCUAUCAUAAAGCAUAAAAGGUACUCUCCCUUCUUCUUAGAAUGGAGAAACUUUUAUCUUUCUGCCUACUUGAUUCUUCUUAUUCGUUCUGCUAUUGAUUUAAACUUUUUCAAUCAAUUCAGAAUUACACUUAAUCUUGUAAGUAUAAUCAUAUUUACUAAACCUUUAGUAAAUCAUGACGAAUAUCUUUGUUACUCUUAUGGUGGACUUGAUCAACACGCAACUUUGUGUACUCGAUCUCCUAGUCCUUCACUUGACACUUUGUCAAUGAAUUAGUCUAAUUUCCAAAUAUGAAAUUUCUCAUUCAUCGUGCAACCAAGUUGCAUGAUUCCAAGUUUCUGUCCAAUUGAAACUUGGGCGAUGAGAAACUCUCCCUAUUUGGUAAACUCUCGACUUUCCAUAAAUAACAUAAUAAGAACCAAAUCCAUUAUUGCUAAUAAUAGAAACAUUCAAACAUCAAUUUUUCAUAUACGCCAUUGCAAGGAUAAAUAAAUAAUAUAAAAUCAAAAUUUAUUUUAUUGCGGAAAAAAUUUGUCCUUACAAUGCAAUUCAUUGAAAAACUAUGCUAAUACAUCUUUCUUAGCAAUCUAAUUCUAACUCUAAGUAGUAGCUCAAGAAUCUAAUCUUCGAGAAAUGCGAUCGAAAUCCAUUCCUUCACGGUUAGAUUCUGCUCACUUCUUCCCUUAAGCUUCCUUUCUUUUCUUCGAUCCUACAAAACAUCAAUUGUAAUCUUAUCACAUUAUGUAUUAAGAAUCUAGAAUAGAAGCUUAAAAGAGUUAGUUAAUGGAUUUUACCUAUAUUAGAGCCAUACGUUUCGACUCUCCCAUCUCUUAGAUCUCUUAGGUAAAUGGGGCAGCUUCGUCUCCAAUGCCCUUUCUCUUGGCAAUAAAAGCAAAUUGACUCUUUUGGAACAUGACAUGGAACUACUUCAGACAUUGCCUUUCUCUUAUGAUCAAACUUUUCGAUCAUAGCAUGUCUUUCGUUGCCAUUGUCUAUAUCCAUAGAGGUCUUGAAGGCAGAUUCACCAAUCAACUUUGCUUUUCUAUUGCGCCAAACCAUUGCUGAUUCAGCAGCAAUAAGCAUAUAGGUGAGAUCUAUA